Molecule: long non-coding RNA, 49198 nt
Filed under: Phaseolus vulgaris (common bean)
Lineage: Eukaryota; Viridiplantae; Streptophyta; Magnoliopsida; Fabales; Fabaceae
Description: long non-coding RNA (PVUL_LNC001945)
Source: RNAcentral
UGGUUUCUGUCAAUGCUGAUGGUUACCCUUACUAUUCUCCUCCUCCUCCUUACGAGUACAAAUCACCACCUCCUCCACCUUAUGAGCACAAGUCUCCUCCUUAUGAGUACAAGUCUCCACCUCCCCCAUCUCCAUCUCCUCCUCCUCCUUACGUCUACAAGUCUCCACCUCCACCACCAUAUGAGCACAAGUCUCCUCCAUAUGUGUACAAAUCACCACCUCCUCCAUCUCCUUCACCACCACCUCCUUACGUCUACAAGUCUCCACCUCCUCCUCCUUAUGUCUACAAGUCUCCACCUCCUCCUCCUUACGUCUACAAGUCUCCACCACCACCUCCUUAUGUCUACAAAUCUCCCCCUCCACCACCAUAUGAGCACAAGGCUCCACCAUAUUAUUACAAGUCACCACCACCUCCUUCCCCAUCUCCUCCACCUCCUUAUUACUAUAAAUCUCCUCCACCACCCUCUCCCUCACCUCCUCCUCCCUACUACUACAAGUCUCCACCACCUCCUUCACCAUCUCCUCCUCCACCCUACUACUACAAGUCCCCACCACCUCCUUCACCAUCUCCUCCUCCACCCUACUACUACAAGUCCCCACCACCACCCUCCCCAACUCCCUACUACUACAAGUCCCCACCACCACCAUCUCCAACUCCCUACUACUACAAGUCUCCACCACCACCAUCUCCAACUCCUUACUAUCCAUCCCCCACUCCUUACUACUACAAGUCUCCACCACCACCAUCCCCAACUCCCUACUACUACAAGUCUCCUCCUCCUCCUUCACCUACUCCUUACUACUACACUUCUCCACCACCACCCAAAUAUCCACCUCCCUACUAUUAUAACUCCCCUCCUCCACCUGUUGUGUAUCCCCCACACCCCUACCACCCCCACCCCUUGAUUGUCAAGGUAGUGGGUAAAGUCUACAGCUACAAGUGCUAUGACUGGGAGUAUCCCGAGAAGUCUCACAACAAGAAACACCUCAAAGGUACACACCUUAUUUUUCUCAUUUACAAUGCCUUCCAAUUAAUGUUCUCUGUGUUACCAUCAAACUGUUACUUUCCUGCUUCUUUGAUGUUCAUUAGCAGCCGCUUUUUGGAGUUAGGAGACUCCUAUGUUUCCAUAAUGGAAAUGUCUUUGUUUUUAAAAUUCAGUCACUUUCACAACCACCUUUUCUUAUCUGUCUGUUUUUCUUAUAAUUAACCUUUUGAGGUUAAUUAACGUGUUAAUAAGGUUUGAGGGAAAAAAACUGAACAGAUUCAGAGCGUCUAGAGUAAUGCACAAGUGAACAUUUUAUAAUGUGGUUAAUAGGCAUUUUAUAAUUUUAAUGAUAUAUUUAUCUGCAUUGAUCUGUGCAAGUAUCUUUAUAUAAAUUAAACAAAGAUACUAAAUAAAUGUCUUAGAUUAUGUGUGAUUAUCUCCAAAAGGAGAUUCAUAAAAAGGAAAAGAAAAACAGAAAUAUAAUUUAGAAGAAUCGGCUAAUGCCUGUAAUACAUUAAGAAAUAAUCAACUAGACACUUUAUAUAUGAACCUUUAAAUGAUUCUUAAUAUAUAAUAUAAUAUGGUAUCUGACAAAACUUUCACUUUAAUGAUAACUUGGUGUGUGGUAUGAUCUAUGAAUUGGAAUUAAGCAUUUUGGGGUGAAUGCAGGUGCUACUGUUGAGGUUAAAUGCAAAGCAGGAAGAAACAUCAUUAAGGCUUAUGGUGAAACUAAGAGCAAUGGAAAAUACAGCAUCACAGUUAAGGACUUUAACUAUGUGAAAUAUGGAUCCGUAGUGUGCAAGGCCAAGCUUUAUGCCCCACCUAAGGACUCUCCAUUCAACAUACCUACAAAGUUGAACGAGGGAACAGAGUUGAAGGUCAAAUCCAAAGACAAAUAUGAAGUUGUGUUGAAGGCUAAGCCAUUUGCUUAUGCUUCAAAGAAGCAUUUCAAAGAAUGUGAAAAGCCUAAGCCUUCACCAACUCCAUACUAUUACAAGUCACCUCCUCCUCCAUCUCCAGUUUACAUAUACAAGUCACCACCUCCUCCAUCACCUACUUAUGUUUACAAGUCACCACCACCACCAGUGAAGUCACCUCCCUAUUACUAUCAAUCUCCACCUCCACCAUCACCAAAACCUCAGCCUCCUUAUUAUUAUCACUCUCCACCUCCUCCAACACCAGUUGUUAAGCCACCAUACUACUACCAAUCUCCACCUCCUCCAUCUCCAAAACCUAAGCCUCCAUACUACUACCAAUCUCCUCCUCCUCCAUCACCAAAACCUAAACCUCCUUACUACUACCAAUCUCCACCUCCUCCAUCACCAAAACCUCAGCCUCCAUACUACUAUCAAUCUCCACCUCCUCCAACACCAGUUGUGAAGCCACCAUACUACUACCAAUCUCCACCUCCUCCAUCACCAAAACCUCAGCCUCCUUACUAUUACCAAUCUCCACCUCCUCCAACACCAGUUGUUAAGCCACCAUACUACUAUAAAUCUCCACCUCCCCCAUCACCCUCUCCUCCACCACCAUACUACUACAAAUCUCCACCACCACCAUCCCCAUCACCGCCACCUCCAUACUACUAUAAAUCUCCACCUCCACCAUCACCGGUUGUUAAGCCACCAUACUACUAUAAAUCCCCACCUCCCCCAUCACCCUCUCCUCCCCCUCCAUACUACUAUAAAUCUCCACCUCCAUACUACUACCACUCUCCACCUCCACCAUCACCAGUUGUUAAGCCACCAUACUACUACAAAUCUCCACCUCCACCAUCACCCUCACCUCCCCCUCCAUACUACUAUAAAUCUCCACCCCCACCUUCACCAUCCCCUCCUCCUCCAUACUAUUAUAAAUCACCACCACCACCAUCCCCAUCACCGCCACCUCCAUACUAUUACAAAUCCCCUCCACCUCCAUCCCCAUCUCCACCGCCUCCUUAUUACUAUCACAGUCCUCCUCCACCAUCUCCCACUCCUCAUCCUCCCUACUACUACAAAUCCCCUCCACCACCAACGUCCUAUCCUCCACCUCCUUACCACUAUGUGAGCCCUCCACCACCUUCUCCAUCUCCACCUCCACCAUACUAUUACAAAUCACCACCUCCUCCCUCCCCAGCCCCCGCUCCAAAGUACAUUUACAAAUCACCUCCACCUCCAGCUUACAUCUAUUCUUCCCCACCUCCACCCAUCUACAAGUAAGCUCGGAUUGUGGAAGCACCAUUCACCACAAAUCAUGUAAGUUCAGGAUUCCAACAUUGAUCAUAAGUAAAAUUAGUUAAUUAUACGUGUAUGAAUUUUAGUAAUGGAAAUUCCCACUGAAUUAUUUUUUCAGGUUCUAGUUUUCAUGGAGGAAUAAAGGCAAGCUCCAUUUGGAGUGAAGUGAAAUAUCUAUCUUCCUGUCCAAGUUCUUUGAAUAAUAAAAGUCUGAAUGUGUCAUCUCUGGGCUACAAUGUUUGUGAUUCAGACCCGGUUGGUUCAAUUUGUUUGAUGGCCAUCUUGCACGUCCUGAUCUUAUUGUGUUCAAGUGACGGACAAAUGAAAAAGAGGAAGAGAGAUUUAAAGUGUAAAUGCCAAGUGAAAGUGAAAAAGUACAGUCCACUCUUAGAGAUCUCUUAAAUUUAUUUGUUUAUAGGCCGUCUAUGAUUGCUUUUCUAUUUAUUGUGGAAUUUUUGUAUUGUACCAGUUGUUGUGUUUGCAAUAAGUAAUAGUAAUAAACCACCAAAUUCAGGUUUCCUAACUUUCCUUUAAAAUGAAUGAAUAAAUAAGAAGUAUAAAAAGUAUGAUACCACAACCCUUAUAUAACAAAACUACCUUAAGCUUAUUCUCUUUACCUUAAUCCUUACCUUAAACCUUAAACUCUGUUUCAAGACAACAAUUUGAAUACGAAAAACAUAUGUCACGCGUUGUAGACAUUAUUCAUUACCAAGUUUUCAACUGGGUCAGAGUAAAAAUUUCACAUCCUACACUUCUGAAAAUCCUCUUGUUAUUAUUCUUAUGUUACCACAAUUUUGGUUUCCUAAUAACCAUUUGCAUUUAUACCAUUCUCGAGAUAUCAAAUAGUACAUCAGAAAGAGUCUCUGCCUGAUGCCUAUCAAACUCAAUAUCUGCCCACUAUGAUGAUUCUUUAGAAGGCACCAGCUAAAGUUUCUGCAUGUUUGAACUUUGCUCAUAAACAGAUAAGAUAAACAAACAAUUGACAUAAAUUAUUUGGACUCAACACCAAAUCACGUUUCCUUCUUGGAAUCUUUGCUCAUUUCUUUUGUAGUACGUACCAAUUAUUAAUUAUUAAUUUAACUAUAAGUCUUCUUCUUCUUCUAGCCAUAUCCAAGCAGGUCCCAUUAUCUAAUUAAAUAGCCCCCAAUAAUCUGAUCAAAUCCACAUAACUGAUUCGUGGACCCUUUCUUCCUUCUAAUUCAUGCAAUUUCCCUAAAGUUACAAAAACUAAUUUCACACUGCUACUAACAACCACAGCAUCAGCAUCUUAAUUAUUUCAUUUACCAUGUCACAAAAUUUGAAGUUGUGAUGAUGACAAGUUCUAAGAUUAUUUAAAUAUGAAUCAGUAGUUUGAAUUUAUAUAAGCUAUCACUAACGCAUGAUUUAGUUAUGAUUUGAAUUAGUCAUUGACAGAUACUGAUAAUUUUUAACAGUAUUAAUUAUCAUCCUGAGUUGUAUUAAGCUCAAAUGUGUACCUAACAAAGGCAACUAAAAAUUAAAGAAAGGAAUUCACAAGCACUAAUUAUUGCUGUGUUUACAAGAAAACAAAAAAAGUGGUCUUCCAACUAAUAUAAGAGAAAGUGGCAACUUGCUAUAUAAAGGGAAACAUAAAGAUAGAAAAGGGUUGAAAUGCUAAUUUGUUAUGGGUGCUGUCAUGCAUCAAUUCUGAUUAAUCUAAAUUUUUGAAGUUAUAUAAAACUACAAAGAGAACGAUGGCGCACCGAACAAUCAUUAUAAAGAAGAGGUCUACCCACUAUUUGAGGAACUGCUCAUCAUCACUUAAUGUAAAGAAUAACUUUUUAAUAUUUUAUAACUUUUCAAACUACUAAUUAAAUAAAUGAGCAUAAAAUAAUUUGUAUGCUUGAACCAAUAAUGUUUUCUGAAAAAAAAAACACUAUUGUGAUGCUGAUGUUUAAUAAACAACUGUAUUAAGAAAUGGGUUUUUCAAUUAUCAUUUUAAGAAUUAUUUGGUUGUUUUCAAGAGGGGUUUCUAGGAAGGAAAGGAUGGGGUUGGGAAAGGAUUAAUUAAGUAACCUUUUGCUUUGGGGGUGUUUUUUUUUAUCAUCAACAAUAAUGAAUAAAUAAAUAUUGAUCACUUUAGGGGUGAUCCAACUCUUAUACAACAUACUAAAACAGUCGGCCAACAUAAUACUAUCUAAACUACUCAAAAGUCAUCUAAACUACUCUAAAACAAGAAGCUCCAGAACGAGAAACAAACCAUAAGUUCAAGACACCAAUCUGAAUAAGAAAAACAAGCAGAUGAAAUUUUAAAGGAAAUCCAAGAUCAAACUUUCAAUUGAGUUAGAGAAAACGUCUCUGAAUGAUGCGUCACUCCACCUUUAAAGAUGACAUUGUUCCUAAGACAGAAAAUCUCACUAACCAUCACAAUUCAAACAUUUUUCAAAAUCAAAUUAACAGAAUUAGGUGCAUUACACAGGUUGCUGGCAAGAAACUUGUAUUUCCAAACAAAGGGAGUGACAAAAUUUGUACUCUGUUGGUAGAAGAAUGAAGUACUAUAUUCUUGCAGCUGUACAUUUAUCUAAUAGAUGCAUGCACUGUUUUCCCAAGGUUGUUUCCAUUUUCUGUCUGUAUCACAUAUAUUAAGCAAAAUGUUCAUUCUGCUGGAUGCAGUAUUAUGCUGCAGAGAUUCUGCUUUUGGCUUAUUUUGUCUUAUGAGCUUUGAUUCUCUAAACCUUUUUGUAAAGAGUUGGAGAGCAUACCUUAAAUGCUUCAAUUCUAUUUAUUUCAUUCUUUCCCAAUAAAAGAAAAGGAAUUGUUCAUGUGAGAAAUAUUGGAAUCCUAUUAAGGUAUUUUUAUAACCAAUGUGAAGAAAUUUGGUCUGUAGUUAAUUUCAGUUAAGGUUUAUUGUCAUGGCUGAUUUUGAUUUUUACUCUUUGUAAACAACUGAAAUAAUUUACAACUAGCAUUAUGGAUAAUAAUCUUACAUUAGCAUAGGAUCCUAUUGUCAUUUUCACUUCUUCACACUACUAUUGCAGCAAAAUGGCAUAAUGUUGCAGUAGUUUGCACCAUCUUAGUCUCUUAAAGAUCCUUUUUUCUGUGCUCAUGUGAUGUAUGACAGAAGAUAUGCUGCCACUGAAAAAGAGGUUCUGCUUCUUCAUAUUUCACAAUCUUGUUGCACCUCAUGAGGUGUGUGAUUCAAAAAGUUAUUACAUAUAAAUACUAAUUAAUGGGAUGAAUUAUAUAAUAAUUAGAUAAUAAUAUUAGAAUAAGGACUAGUGUUUAAUCUCUAAUUUUUUUCUUAUUCUAAACAUACAUGUAACCAUGUUUAGAAAGUUAUUUGGUUUACGCAAUAACUAUAAGUGUGAAAAAUUUAAACUACUUUUUCAUCAUAUUUGGUUAAAGACAAAGUUUUAUUGUUUAAUCUGAUACCAUAUGAUGUUGUAUAUUUUUAUCAUUUACCUUCAUCAUCUUCACCCAAUAGUAAUGAUAAUAAUAUAGUAACCACAUGAAAUAUUUUAAUAUUUUAAUAUUUGAUAUUUUAUUGUUUAACUAUUAUAUUAUUUCACCUAGUUUUGUUUUGUUUUUAAAAGCAAAAAAUUACAAAAACAUAUAGUGUAAUUUUCGUAAUGAUAAUAAUUUAAAAAAUAAAUAAAUACUUCAACAUUACAAUAAAAUCAUUAGAAACUAAUUUUAAACCUAAAAUAAUUACUUACUAUUUGACGAUCACUUUAUAAAUUAAAAUAUUAUUGGUAUCUAAAGUAAUUUUUAUUAUUAAUAAAAAUACAUCAUUACCAAAAUUUUAGUUCCUUAUUAUUUAUUAAUCUUUUAAAGAUCAAAUUAAAAUUUAAAAUAUUAAUAGUUAAAAUCUUGAUCCUUAAUUUAGAUACUAAUUUAUAAUUUAUAUUAUUUUUUAUUAAUAAUAAAAUUAGUUUAAAUACGAAUAAUUUUUUAGUUUCAUUAUCUAAUUUAGUCUAUUAAUUAUUAUUUUUAUCUUAAAAUUUGGUUUGAUGGUUUGUUACAGUAGAAGUUCAUUUUUAUUGAAGUUUGAUUUGGUUCUACGUGUUAUGUUUUAGAAAUUUAAUUUCUUAGCGUCACUUUGGUCAUACGUGGUUCAUUCAGAUUGAGAGGCUAUGAGCCCAAUGGGCAAGCACCCAUUUCCUCUAAGAAUUAUUUUUCCUGCACCCCUACGUUUUUCUUUCUGCACCCCAUAAUUUUAAAAAUUCCAAAAUUGAUUUUGACCUUGACCCUUUAUUUAGAAAAGGACACCGUGAAAUGUGCUACGGACUCAUUAAUAAUAGUAUAAAUUAUUAUGUUAUACUCUAAUCGAUAUGAAUUAUAAAAACGUUAAAUCUCAGAAAAACUAUUUAAAAAAUAUUAAAAUUAAAAUACCAACUCACUCAAUGUAUACUUUUUUAUUAUGAAUAGAAAUAGUUCAAUCCUUGUUGGAUUAUAAACAUUUUCCUGAUUUUGAAAAAUAAAUAAGUAGCAAAUGAAUGAAGUGGAAGGGAUUAAUGGAACUGUAGGAUGACAAAGACUAAAUUAAUAAUUUACAAAAUUAAAAACCAAUUCAAUAAAUUGUUAUUAAUAUAAUGAAUUGAUGUUUUUGAUUUUUUCAUAUAACAAUUGGUGAAGUUCUGAGGUAGACAAGUUGUCGCCCAACAAACUUUGACACUUCUUCUCAGAACAAGUGGUAGACCAUACAUGCAUCCUUAUUCUAAACAAAAAAAAAACAUCAAAUGUUUCAAAAAAAAACUCAAUAUUAUCCAUACCGAUGUGAUAAUGUCGUAUUCAAAAAAAAAAAAUUAUACCAAUUUGUUUUACACUAAAAAAAAUCCAAACUUUCUUCAAAUGGGAGUAAAAUACUAAACUUUCCUUUUCUCUUGACCGAGUCAACUUUCUGAACCCACUUUGCUUGCAAUGAAAAAAUGUAAUUUUUUUGACUUAAUCGUUAUGGGAAAGAAGAUUGACUGAUACAAAGUUGGAACAGAUAUGAAAAGAACCUGAACUGUUUACAGUGGUGUCACGUUAUUACCAUGAAAGUAGAUUAAAACAAACCUCAAAAGGUUAUUAUUCUUCAAUUCCCUUCACGUAAGUUGCAGUGUGGAUACUGUGAAUUUUCUUUGCUUUCAACUGGGACCUGUAGAAAGAGAAAAUGACUGCAAACAAGAAAGACACCCUUUGGAUUUCUCUUUCUCUCUCUCUCUCUCUUUCCCUCGUAAUUUUAUUUUUGAGACAACUCACAGAAGUCUUGCAAGUUGUAACCUUCAGUUUCUGGUUUCAGCCGACUAGUUUGAUCAGGUUCCGUCUACCCAGAUCUACUUUUGCCACAAUUUAUUCACUUUUUUCAUUUCUUGGAUCUAUUGCAUCUCUUGGGUAUCCUUAUUCUAUCUCAAUUUGAAGUCUUUCAUGCCAAGCUUCUUCUGGGAUCCCUUUUGAUCUUCUUUGUUGCUUAGUUUCUCGUAUAAUUUGCUCCUUGCUUCUUCUUCUGGCUUACUAUUUAUAAAGAUUUUAUCUUUUAUCGUUUCUUAUAAUUAUUUGUUAUCUUGGUAUUUACGUUUAGUUAUGAUGGUGCCCCUCUUUAAGUUUUCAAUGUUCUUUCCAAUUCAACUUUGCUUGAAAGAUUAUAUUAUACAGUGUCCUAUUUUUUUUUCCUCUGUGAUUUUAUUCAUGGUCCUUUGUUUUAUGUCUUUCCAUGCUUUCUAGUACAAUUUCGGAUUGUCUGAACUUUGAUUGCUGUUAGAAACGAUGGGGAUGAAGUGAAAUUCAUGAGGUUUGACCCUGCAUAGCAUUGUCAUUUGCAUGUUUGAGAAUUUGGAUUGAUCUCUGAAAGUUCAUGUAAGACUUAUUUUCAGAUAGUGAUGUUGGUUCUUUCUCCGUAGUAGAAUUUGGCAUGCAACUAUAGUUGAGUUCUGAUGUUGCUUCCAUGUCCAAACUCCCAAGUAGUAAAGGCUUACAAUUUUACUUCUUAUAUAUUUCAUGCCCAUUUGCCCUAUUUGUUUAAUCAUAUAUUGUGCAGACAUUGUACUUCUUGUUUCUUCUUUGAUGAAUUAGUCAACUCUAAAUGAUUGGUUUGGUUACUUUAAACUUCUAUCUUAGUACAAGUAAAGAAUACUGAUUGGAAAAUAUAUAUUUUUCUUGAAUUGUGCAUGACAAAUGUUUGAAAUGGGCUUUAUUUCUACUUGGCAGUUAAGCGUGGUUUUGGCAGGCUAAUUCUGAAAACCGGCUAGAAUGAAGAAGGCCAUUGGUCAAACUGUUAGGGAACUGUGAGUCUAACUGUUUAGGGUGGUGUUUGUUACUAUUUUUUAACUCAGCCCUAUUUCAUAAUUCCUCACUAUCUUCAUUGUCCUUGCAGUAAAAGAGAAGUAAAUAAGAAAGUGCUUAAAGUUCCUGGGAUAGAACAGAAGGUAAAUUUUGUUCGCUUAACAUUUACUGUAAAACUGAAUUGCAUAUAAUAUAACUCAUUGCAAAGACAAUGGUGUGAGGAUUUAUGUGAAGUCUGCAAUCUGAAUUUACUUUUCUAAUAUUUGCUCACAAAAGAAAUUGUUUGUUGACUAUCUUGGAGCUUACACAUUAUAAUCUUACUGUGCAAAUUUUAAUUAGACUCGUCUCUCGUCUCUUCCAGAUUCUUGAUGCUACCAGCAAUGAAGCCUGGGGUCCUCAUGGAUCACUUCUAGCAGAUAUUGCUCAGGCUACCAGAAAUUAGUAAGCUUGAACUCAUCAUUUAUGCUUGAUAUUGUAUACAAAUAUCUCACUUUUGAGCUCCCUUGCAGUCAUGAAUACCAAAUUAUCAUGGAAAUAAUCUGGAAGCGGAUUAAUGACACAGGCAAGAAUUGGCGGCAUGUCUAUAAGGUUUGUGGAACUUUUUUAUGUUUUAGAUGGAAUUACUCUUGGAAUCUCUUUUUUCUUUUGUUUAUUGUCAUAACAACACUCUUCUGUUUUGACCUUCAAUAUGCAUCCGUGAACUGAAGUACACUAUUUAUGAAAUUUUCUCAAUACUUAUUUACAAACAACUAAUGGUUCUUGCCUUUCAAGAACUCUGUCUAGUAUGUUUAUGCAUUUAUUUCUGAUCAUGCCCUCUUGGAAAAGAAUGGCUCUUACAUUUUUGUAUUAAAUGUUCAACAACAGGCUUUGACAGUAUUAGAAUAUGUGGUGGCUAAUGGGUCAGAGCGAGUCAUAGAGGAGAUUAGGGAGCAUGCCCACCAAAUAUCGGUAAUUUCCUGUCAAUUGAAACAUUUAUAAACUGUUUAGUAUUUUUCAUUCAAACUAUUAAUAUUAUUGAAAUGAUCUAAAAAUUAGAAUGCAGCUUGAUAAUGUUGUAAAUGUUCAUAUCAACAGACAUUGUCCAAUUUUCAAUAUAUUGAUUCCAGUGGAAGAGACCAGGGAAACAAUGUCAGGAAGAAAUCACAGAAUCUCAUUCUCCUUGUGAAUGAUAAAGAAAGAAUCAUAGAGGUUAGACAGAAGGCUGCUGCUAACAGGGACAAGUAAUUCUCCUCUUAUUAGUCUGUUUUUUUAUAUAUAUUUUGAACUUUGUUAUUUUCCAGUUGCUAUAAAAACUUAUGUCUUCUGCCUUGCUGGGGAAGAAAAUAUAUUUCUUUUCCCUGUAUUUUGUAAUAUCCAUCCAUUGUGUAUUUGAAUUUCUUUUGGGUUUCUAGAUCACAAAUGUAAAAUCACAGAGUAUAUUAUGUAAAUAUGUAUGUGGGUUAAUCCGGAGGAGAUAUGUAAUGUAAUUGCCCAGCAUGAUUCACCAGGUUUCGCGCCAGUUCAACAGGUGGAAUGUACAGGCCUGGUUCUCAUUCUAGCAGUGGGGCUUAUGGUGAUAGAUAUGAAGAUGAUCGUUAUAGAAGCAGGGAGGAAGAUAGAAGUGAUCAUGGCUAUGGCAGAGAAAGAGAGUGGGGCUAUAGAGAUGAUGAUCGGUAUAGUCGUGAAGGAGAUCGUUAUGGCAGAGAUAAUGAGGAAAGCUACAGAAAAGAUGGCUAUAGGGAUGAUGAGUACCAUAGAAGAAGUGUUGAUGAUGGCCAAUAUGGCUCAAGAAGCAGGAGCUCUGACAGAGAUCAUGAUCAUAAUGUUGAUGAUGAUGGUCAGCGUUCAUCUGGGUACGUGCCUGAGAUAGCCAAAAAAAAACAUCUAACAAAAUCUGAAAUAGAUAAUGUUUUUAUUUUUCAUAAUUAUAGUUCUUGGGGUUCAUUUGGUUUUGGAUCUUAGACUCUUAUUAGUUGUUAUGAUCUGUAUAUAUAUAUAUGCAUAUUAGAUGUAAAAAACUUAGACUACUUCAAAAGACAAGUACACAGCAUAAUCCGUAUUAGCUUUGAUGUUAGGAUUCAUGGUUGCACAACAUUCCUCUCUCAUUCUGCUUACUCCAUCCUUUUUUACAAUGUUGUCUCAGAGGUAGCAUUGCUAAAGCUGAAGCUCAUUCAAUGGAAGGAAGGUAAAUCAUCCCUCUCUCUCAUAUCACACACAUAUCCAUGCAUAAUGGCCAUUUAGCAUUAUUUUGGAUGACCAUAUGCAAUUCCAUGGGCAGGUUAGAGCAGAAACUUUCUGAGCAAAAUGUGGGUGCUCCUCCCAGUUAUGAAGAAGCUCUUUCUCAAAGCCCUUUACACAAUGAAAGGUAUGAAUUUAAUAAUACCGAGAUUAUCUAUUCCAAUUCCGAACAUAUUUGUUACUAUAUCACUUUGAUUGAAGGGAUGGGGGAAUUUCAGCUGCAAAAGCCUCUUCUCCUGUAAGUGACAAUCCUACACAAACAGCUGCUGCUGCCAGUACUGCAACAUCUGGAAACCCAGAAUCUAAGGCUUUUGAUGAAUUUGAUCCUCGUGGUCAUCCUGCAUCAGGUGUGGCAAGUUCUUUGUUUUGAAAAUUGAGUACACAUGUUGAAGUUUAUUAUUUUUAAUUGUCCUUUUUCUACUUCAUGUCAGGUUCGACACUCACAUAUAUGUAUGUGUCCAAUGAAAUAUAUUUAUAAUUAUCAACAUAUGAUAGCAAAUUUUUAUUGUAUGUUUCUUAUUAGCUGCCCGAGCUCCUGCUAGUAAUGUUGAACUGGACUUGUUCGGCUCCCUAUCUGAACCAUUCUCUUCAAAUGCAUUGGCUCCUGUGUCUUCUGCACCAGAAACAACAACCUCUCAAGGCAACACAAACCUUGAUUCAACUGUGGCCUUUGCACCACCACCAUCUGCUACUAAUAAUUUCAAUACGGUAGGAAUUUGCUUUUUUGUUUAUACCUUGACUCUAAGAAAGUAUUUGAAUACGCUGUAUUAUUUAAUAAGAAUGAAUUUUUGUGUAUGGCUUGGAAUGAUUUUCUUGCAUGCUUAGGUGGGUAGCUUCAACUUAAGAAAUGUAGCGUAUUAAAUACUGUAACUUCUGUAAAACAUUAAUUUAAUUUGUAUCCUUUGACAAGAGUUCAUCUCUGUUAAUCCUGGUUUUUUGUUGGUUUAACUUUUGGCAGGUGUUUGAAGACCCAUUUGGUGAUUCACCGUUUAAGGCUCUUCCUUCUGCUGAAACUCCUCCACCUCAACCCCAGACUCAUCAGAGUCGUGCACCAUCCCAGCCAAGUGGUUCUAACACAGAAUCAGUCUCUAACUUUGGGUUUGGAGACUCAUUUUCUGCUCCGCCGAGAGAUCGUGACACUCAGUCUUUGCCAUUGAACUCCCAGUUUUUGUCAUCAUCACUGGAAACUGAUAUUCUUGCAGACAUUCUUCCACUACCUGGGACAACCUCACGGCAGAACUUUUCAGCUCAUCCUGAUGCUCAGGCCUCAUCCUCCUUUUCAGCUUCAUCAGGGCAGAUGGCAUCACAAUCUUUUUUUGCAGAGUCUGGCCAACAUGCGCAGCAAGGGUUCUCAGCUGGAACCAGUCAACCUGCCACAGAGGCCGUAUCAGUUCCUGGUGGCCAACUGCUACAACCCCUGUCAUCGAAUCCCACUAGUCAACGUACACAGCAACCCUUUCCAUCUCAUACUGAUCAAUCUGUGCCGUCAGUUAGUCAUAUAUAUGGUGGAUUCCCUCCCCAGGCAGGUUCUAUGACUGAAGGAGCUUCCAGCAUGUUCCCUCAAACGCAAGGUGGACACAUGAACCAGACCUAUGAACAGAGAUCUAUGGCACUUAUUCCUGCACACACGGCUCCCCAACUUCCAAUGGGACAGAGUGCAAACUUUUUGUCUUCUCAAUCCCCCAUUGAUCAAGCAUCACAGUUUAACAGCGGGAUCUUAAUGGCACAACAGCAAGGACAUGCUUUGCAGAAUGCUGUUUCUCAACCAUCCUCCAAGGACAAGUUUGAGACAAAAUCCACAGUCUGGGCAGAUACACUGAGCAGGGGCUUGGUUAAUUUAAAUAUAUCUGGACGUGAGUGUUGUGCUUAUAUACCUUCUCAGACUGUUUCCAACUUGUGGUCUUAUCUGGAUGAACACUGACUUCUCAUGUUUUUCAUUUGCAGCUAAAAUAAACCCUUUAGCAAACAUUGGAGUGGACUUUGAUGCAAUUAAUAGGAAGGAGAAGAGGAUGGAGAAGCCGACCACGACAUCGGUAACAUCAACUGUAACCAUGGGUAAAGCUAUGGGAUCUGGUUCAGGCAUGGGCCGGGUCGGUUCUGGUGCUUUUAGACCACCACCUACAUCAAACCCAAUGAUGGGUAUGGGCAUGGGAAGCUACGGAGGUAUGAACGCCCCUGUGGGUAUGGGGAUGAACAUGAGGGGCAUGGGGCAGAUGCAGCCACCACCUGCACCUACUGGACUGCCUCCUGGAUAUACCAUGCCUGGUAAUUAUAACUCCAUGAUGGGAACAGGUGGUGGUUAUCCUCAGUAUCCUUAUGGCCUUGGUGGCUACCGACAAAAUUGACCAUUGCACCUGGAUAUCAUUACCAAUGUCAAACAGUGUGUGAGACUUAUUGAGCAUUAUACUUAGAUAGCAAUAUCAAAGUGUAUGAGAUUGAUUGAGCAUUAUACCUGGAAGAUAAGAUAGCACGUCAAUACCUCAUUUGUGGCAUCAUCACUACCAGUGAAUGGAUCAAAUAACCCUUCUUGGGUUAUUACUUUUUGUUAUUAACCCCAACACCAACCAGUGGUGCCAUGUUUAAUAUGUUAUCUUCCCUUUGCCUAUUCUACAUCCAUGUUAAAAUCAUGAACUCAGCAUUUAAUAGUCUGCCCAACAGUUUUCCAAUGUGUAUCUACAUCUGUUUGUGUAUAUAUUAAAGAAAAUUUCUUGCUUGAGGGAUUGGACAUUGAAGAAAAACUGAUACCUUUUAACAGCUACUCCCGAUAAUGGAGAUAAAAGAAUGCAUUCAAAAUUGUCAGAGGGCAAUCCCGAAACAAUUAAUUUCGUAAGUCAUUUCCUAUUCAUUCUGAAAUGGACUUUCCAAAAUGUGUUUUUUACAUUCCGGAACAGAUAAAUGGUGGCUCAAAACAUUGAUGGAGUGUACAAAUAUACAUCCUUAAUCAACCCAAAUCUAUCUUAAAAUAUUUUCUUUCUUCAAAGUAAUUAAAUUGUCACAUUUAGCAAGCAUUAUUACUCACUGAAUUUUAGAAUCUAACAAAUCCGUCCAAAACACUCAAAUGUCCUUCUACACAAAUUGAAUCGAAUUGAAUGCUUCUUUUUUUGCAAUGUCCAUCUUUGAAGGAGACUCUUCCUCGUGCUUCUACUCUUCAAACACCUCUUAAGGUGUGCGUAGUUUUUUUGAGCUUCCAGCCCAGGUGCUGUUAUUAUGAUUUACCUGAAGUAGUAGCUUCUUCAUCAUGUUGUCUUUGAUUGGCAUCUUCAGCAACAUGAAGAUGGUCUUGAUUCUCAUUUGUGUCACCACUGCAAUCAGUUCAGCAAAAAGUUCGUAUAUUAGAGAAAUCAAACUGCAGUAGGCAUCUCACUCUACUCAUGAGGAAAAGUUGAGAGCAGGAUUGUGUGAACUACUGUGCAGUGAUUCAGCAUUAAAGAAAAGAAAUUUAUGCGUACAAAGUGUGAAAUUACAUACCCAGAAUAGAUAAUAAGACCAACAACAACAGCACCAAAGGCCACAUAGUACAUCCAAUCAACCUGGAAAGCAAAAUUGGCACUUGAAAUAUUAGUACACUCUGCAUGCCACUCAUAAUUUGAUUGGGAAAAAUAGCGUGAUUCAAGGGUGAUGUCAGACCUUCUCAUGGUAAGCGAAAAUGCGAAUUAAGACAGCCCACAUGUCGGAGGUUAAUAGAGACAAAUUUAACAUAGUGGAACCAUUGAUCUGUGACAAAACAAAGAAUAUUAUAAAAUGUUAGUUCUAAAGCUAAACUGUAAGAUGGUUUAACGCCAUUUAACACUUCAAUACUUUUAGUGAGGCAAGGGAGUAUGAAACAAGUACUACGCAAGAUUCUCAAGCACCUUCAAGGGUGAAAUUUUUUUCACAUUGCUAACAAUUAUUGAAUAGUUUGAUCCAAGAAAUAAACUUAAGUGUAAAAUUAAUAGAAAAAUAUUCAAUAAAAGAAGUAACAAAAUCAAAAAAUUACUUCCAUCUAGUAACAUACAAUUUCAAGCUACAAAAUCUGCAGAAUCAUUGUAGUUCGAAUCCACACCUUAAGUAGGACAGGGACUAAAGAGUAAAACAUAAACAUAGCCACCGCAAAUCCGAAAAAAGGAAGCGCCUGCAAUCACCAUGGCAAGAAAUGGUCAUAAAUAAUAAAUUGCAAUGUUGCUAGAACAUAAACAAUUUGAUGUACAAAAAACAGAUAGUAUUUAAGGGGAUGCAGUAAAAUGUAAAACAAAACUAGAGAAUAGUCUAUAAUCAUUAGGCCAGUUGUGAGAGGGGAUGGUUCUAAAUAUUUACCCCUGAUCUCAAGAGAAAGGGACACGUCACCAUUCUUAGGAACAAAUUCACUGUUUCAUUCCAUGAUUGCAAACAAAAAGCAACUCAGGAUUUUUUGGCUCUUCCAGACGUAAAGAGAAGGACCGUGUGAAUGAAAUCAAACAUGUAUGGACAUCUGAGACAGACUCUUACAGCCUUGCAGACAUCUUAAAAUAAAGUGAAACUUUGCCAAUUACUCAAAUAAUACUGUGCCAGUGUGAGUGUUAUAAUUGAGAGAGAGAGAGAGAGAGAGAGAGAGAACUUACUGCCUCAGCUGACCAGUGAAUAGAUUUGAGCUCAUUGCGCUCAAGUAUGCUUCUGUAGUACGUUUAAGACCAAAACAGGAAAAAGAGAACUAAGAAUUUGAUGAGGGUACUAAAUACAAGUGUUUUCAACCUUUUUUUUACUUUCUGGAUUCAAAAAGAAACUUUGAUACCAAAAUUAUCUUUAUCUCAGCUAAUUGUAAUUAAUUUAAAAACUAUCUAUUUUAACAUUUUCGUAGUCAAUUCUAAAUUAAAAUUCCCAGUGCAAUAUGAUAAUGACAUAGUUCGAUUUAUUUAACCAGAGUAAAGCAAUUGCAAUUAGACACUUCAGCUUUGCAACGGGUGAAUGAAAUGAAGAUGUAUAGAAAGUCCAAAUCAAUACAAAUGUUAUAUUAAAAAUGUUGGAAUUAAUGUUUGAGCACGUGUCAUAAAAUGGAUUCCUCAAUGCAAAUUUAAUAAAGCACAAGUUUGAAGACGAAUAAACAGGUAGAAGAAGUUAAGAAAAUUAUUCAACAAAAGGAUCUAAGUCUGCUCUUAAUGAAAUUAAUUUCAAGGAUACAUUUGAAUGGCACUGAUAAUGCCACCAAAGACACCCAACAUUGCCAUCAACUCAACUCUAUCAGCAUUUUUCACUAGAAACUCCUGUAAUUGGAAAGAAAUAACAAUACCAAAAGAGAUUACUCAUAAUGAAAUACUAAGUGUGGAUGAAUCAUGUGGGAGCAUCUCAAUUAGCUCAAAUGCAUUAUAUUCUUACUUUGCUGUCGAGAUCUCAGAUUCAAGCUGACUUGAAAAUUUGGAUCAAUAAGAUAAGAUUUUCAACAUGAGUAUAUGCACAUAGUAUUGCAAAAUGUGUUAAAAGCAGAAGUGCAAUCAGUUUACCUCACUGACGUUGCUGACAGCAUACAGUGUAGCACCAGCAAUAACAAGAAGAUCCCCUGUACGAGGGUUGCUUCCACCUAUAGCAUGUGUACAUACGAUUAGACAAUUACCAUAAGGAGAAAGAUAUGCUUUACUAAUGACAAAUGACAAGAUCAACAUGUACGAAAACAAAUCUGAAGAACAAAGACACUGAACACCCAACUCUAUCUUUCUGAAUGUGCCUGUGUAAUGUUGGUGUUUACACAUGCACAAGAUAUAGGGAUCAAUCUCAGAAAUUAUAAGCCACCAACCUGCUCGAUCGCCUGCAUGGACAUCUGAAAAUACAACCAGGACAAGGCCAGCAAGGCAAACAAGUACGCCGGUUAUCUUUAUGAAUCUAUAUCUUGUUUUCAAGAAAAUCCACGUAAAAAGCAUGACGCAUGGGAUGGACCAGCAGUCAAGCAGCAUCACACUUGUUAGUGAUGUGUAUUGAUACGCCUUCACAACUGUUCAUUAGAUGAGAAUUAGCAUGUAAGUCACCAAAGUAAAAUGAUGCAACUCAAUAGGUAACUUGCUUCAAUAGAACAUAUAUGAAUUGUCCAACACUAAAUGUAAUAGAAACAAAACAUUAAAGUUAUACUGAAGUAAUGUAAAUUUGGAAAAUUAAGUGAUACAGGCUUGAGCAGAUUGAAUACAAAUAUAUUAAUUUCAAUUUUCAACAAUGUUCUCCAAGUACUUACUAUGUCUAUGCCAUCAGAAACACUUACCAAGAAAAUUUGCUUCAACAUCAACCAAGCCAAGAAGUAUGUAAUAAUACCAUUUUGCCUGCACCAAUACCGAUGGAUAAGUGAAAUUAUCUUUAAAUGUUCAAUGCUCAUAAGAGAAUAGAGUAAAAAGAGAAUAUCAGUAUAUCUUUUAAAGGAAGUAGUCUCGCACCCUCUCUUGGAGGUUUCUUUUAAACAGACGAAGAAGUUAAUGAAUAUUAAGUAAAAACAGUAUAAUAACAUUAAGCGUGGUAGUUUAUAUCUCCAUUGUCAAAAUUUGUAGAUAGGUAGGAUCAUGCAAAAUAGAUGGAACAUUUUAAUACUGGCUAGAGAUAUCACUGAUCCACAAUAUACUUAUGAAAAACAGAAAUAGAAGAUUCAUUGACAUUUGAGACACCAUUCUUCUCCAACAUUCUUUUUACUCUAAUUCUAUGUGAACAACGCUUUUUACUUAUACAAAUACCCAUCUAUUUCAGCAACAUUAUAGUCACCUACGGAUCUAUACAGUGAUACAUCAACACUUAUCUUUACAAACUCCAAAACAACCAAAUGGCUCUGCAAAUUCGUUGUUUCUUUCUGUCCCCUUCAAGUGAUGUUCAUAAAGCAUCCCUUUCUUAUGAUGAAAGUAAUAAUAAACACACCACCAAUAUCAAACCUUGUGUCACGUGAUGUUCAUCAUUCACAAAUGACAGCACAGUAUGAAAGCACAGAUAAAUUUUAGGCAUACAAGCGACACUACCAAUAGUUUCCUGUCAUCUAAUGAAAUCACCAGCUUAAAAUGAGAUGAAGCAAAUAUGCACAAAUUAGAUAAAAGAAUGUUUCGAAUAAUCUUCCUUUAAUUUCAGACAAAAGAAACAAAAAUUACAGAUAUUAAUUAUCUAAGGCACAACAUCAUGCAUUGCAAAUAAAUGAAAGCCCUGAUCUAUAACCUUAAGUGCUUCCCUUCUGUACACAAGAAUGCUCCCGUAGACAAUUGCCAAAAACACGUAGUUCAAAAACGACUGUGAAGUUGGUGCAUUAAUCCCUGUAACAAUACAAUACAAAGAUAACACUUUUUAGAACUGAAUAAAAUCAAUAUAAGUAGGGUGAUUGAAGAACAUAACAUGCAAAUGAAAUUUAGAAAACAAAACCCACUGAUCAAAAGACACGUUUACAAAACUCCUAAAGAAAAUCAAGCCAAUCCAAAAAUGUUCAUUAACAGAUGACUUCCGUUGACUAACAACUAAGAACCAACAAUAGAUAAAAUAAAAGAGAGAAUUUCGGUGAAUCGUAGGAGAAUGCAGCCAAACCUUUUUUGGGCAAUUCAGAAGAGGUGAAACCAGUGGAAGUGAUCAGAAGAGAGAGAAACUGUCCCAACCCAAGACCUAUUAACGUGUUUUUGUUCUUGAAUUGGUCGAAAGUAAGCAUCUUUUCCUUUGCCCGGGAAAAAAAAGAAGUCCAAAUGUAAGAUAGAAUGUGAAGUUUAGCUAACACCCUUUUGCAGACACUCUACUAUGCACCAUUUAAGGAUGUUCCAAAGAACAUGGUUUGCAGAGGAAGUAGAAAAACACAACACUUGUGUUUGGGUGAAAUCAGAAACAGCAAUUUGCGGAGUUUACAAUCGAUUAGGGUUGUAGUGUCGUGAUAAUUCAGUUUAAUCUAAUUUUUAUACAACUCAAUUAAAUUAAUGUUUACGUUUUUUAUUCACCUACUUACCCAGUCUAAGUCAACUUAAUUAUAAUUAGUUUAAAUCAGUCAAAUCAUUUAUUAAAAAGAUACUUCAAAAUAAAUAAUACUAUUAUAUUUUUUUAACAAUUAUCAAAUAAUUAUUCUCACCUAAUAUUGUUAUUUUUAGGUUUAAUUACCUUUUUCGUCCCUAUAAUUAUAGUCAAUAGUCAAUUUGGUACAUUGGUUUUUAAAAAAUUCAAUUUGAUCCCUAAGUUUUUUAAAAUGUAUUUAAAAUGAUCCUUUCUGUUAAAUAUCUGAUUUAAGUGGUGCUUAUGUGGCAGACACGUGUAAGUUACGUGGAUGGUGCUUACAUGACUUUAGAGAAUACUGAAUUAGAGUUUAGGUUAUUCAAAUUGGGGAUUUCAAAUUUCUGAUUUAGGGUUUCUAAUACGAGGAUUGUUCCCCUGAUUGGAUUCUGUGGUGCGCUUCCCUGCUUCGAUUCCAUUCGGAGGUGUCCCCUCAUUCGAUUUUUUUAGAUGGCGUAAGCAUGGGAUACAGAAUCGAAGGUUCGUGAUUUUUUCUUAAAAAAACAUUUUAGUAAAUUAAAUAUAUAUAUAUAUAUAUAAAAGUUUAUAUAAAUCUUUAUUCACGUAAAGAUUGAUGGAUGUUUAUUAUUAUAGGUGGAAAUAAAUUUGUUGUUAUUAUAAUCGUUUGUAUGAGAAUUAAAUGAAAGAGAAAUAGAAUAUAGUGGUUUAAAUAAAAUGAAUAUGAUUGGUUUGUGAUGAUGUUUAGUUUUGGGCUUUCUGCUAAACCCAUGUUCUUCUUUCCUGUUAGUUUUGGUGUAAAAAAUUCAAAAUAAAAAUUAAUUAAUUUGAUAAUUUUUGUUGUUACGUGUAUGAUGACAAAUAAUUUUGUGGAUGUUAAAAAAUCGAAAGAGGUUUUUAAGGUGUUUAAUAAUACAUGGGAAGUGCAAGAAUAUUUGAAAUGAUUAUUAAAAAAUAUACAGUUUUAAUUUUUUUAAGUAUACUUUUAUAUAUAUAUGUUGAGAAUUUAAUAUUUUACUUUAAUUAUAAUUAUUAUUUAGUUUGUAUUAUUUUGAAUAAUCUCUUAUUUGCUUAAUUAAAAAGAUAACAAAAUUAAAUGGAGACAUAUAAGAUCUUUGGAUGAAUUAUUAGACGCAUAUUUCAUAAUUAAAUUUUCUUGAAUUGAUUGAUACAUCUUUUUUCCCAUAUUACUUUCACAAAUUUUUCUUAUUAAAAAAAACUUAAAAAAUAUAAGUUUAACAUAAUUAUGUUACCAGUAAUAAUAAUAAUAAUAAUAAUAAUAUAAAUUUUAAAAAAAUUAUUCUAUAUUUCAUUCAUUUUACAUACAAACCAUUAUAAUAAUAACACAUUUAAUUCUCAAUUAUAUUACAAAAACAAUAUUUUUUACCCUUAAACAAUUUUUUAUUUUGUCAAUCGAAUUAAAAUUUAAAGCAUUUUAUUUAUUUGUUUUAAAAAUUUGAUUUUUAUACACCAUUUUUUCUCUUUAAUUCACAUAUAUACAUUCUACUUUAUAUUUUAACUCAUUUAUAUUUCUUAUUCUAUCUUUUAAAACCCUUUCAGAAUUUAACGUCACCAAUAAUAAGAAUCUACAAUAUUUUAUUUUUCUUUUAUCCUUUAUUCAUAUCCUAUAAAAACUGUUAUAAUAAUAACAAUUUUGUAAAAUUUCAUAUUAUUUUUAAAAAAUAAAUAAUAUUACAAUAACAAUUUUCACCCUUAAAUUAUUUUUUAUUUUGUUCCUUCUCAUAAACCAAUUAAUUUUAAUCUAAACAUUUUUAGUUAUUUAUUUUAAAUUUCUCUUGCACAUAAUAAUCCCUUUCGUCAAUAUAAAUAUAGAUCCACUCUAUUUUUCCAUUCAUUUUAUAUUGUUUUUUUAGAUUCCUUUCAACAAAAUUCCACAAAUAAUAAUAAAUAUCCACAAAAUUUUAAAAUUGUCUUAUAUUUUCUAAUUUGUAAAUUUGUUAUAAAUCUCAAUUAUAGCCCAUUUACAUAGUUAUUUAUAAUAAUCUUUGCAUUCAUUAUGCAUGAACAAAGUAGGUUUAUAGUUAUGCAUGACUGAAUGAACAAAGUAUGUUUAUAAUUAUGCAUGACAGUGGUACUGAUUAACACUGAGUGAUCAAUUUACGAAAAAAAAUAUAUACUAGUAGGGUAUCUAACUAAAAUCUCAUAUGCUACGUGAUUUUCUCUUCUCUUCGUUGAUGUUUAUCUGCAAUGGUACAAGACAAAGAAAAAAAAAUACAUAUACUAGUAGGGUAUCUAACUAAAAUCUCAUAUGCUACGUGAUUUUAUCUUCUCUUCGUUGAUGUUUAUCUGCAAUGGUACAAGACAAAGAAAAAAAAAUACAUAUACUAGUAGGGUAUCUAACUAAAAUUCGAUAUGCUAUGUGAUUUUCUCUUCUCUUCGUUUAUGUUUAUCUGCAAUGGUGCAAGACAAAGAAAAAAAAUACAUAUACUAGUAGGGUAUCUAACUAAAAUCCCAUAUGCUACGUGAUUUUCUCUUCUCUUCGUUUAUGUUUAUCUGCAAUGGUGCAAGACAAAGAAAACCAGAUCCUUUUCUCUUUCCAUGUCCCUUCCACCACACCUUUAUGCAUGAGUUGGAUACACUUAUCUAUAUGAACAAACUCCCUUAAUCCAAACAUAAUGUAAACACGAUAAUUUAGAAAAUAAAUUUUUCCAAAGUAUACUUGAUUACUUUUUGUUCAGUAUUUCUUCAUAAGAGUAACAUUAGAAGAAAAAAUUCUUCAUUUUAAGGUGAAAAAUAUGAUAUUUAUGUGUAAGUAUGAAUAUAUAUAUUUGUAAAAUUAAAAAAAAAAAGUGAAUUUGAAGUAUUAGUAUAAAGAAAAAUGUUUGAUGAGAAAAAAAGGUUGGUGAGAUAAGAAAGAGAUAGGGCAUGAUGUCCAUAGAUCUAAGAUUAUAUAUAUACGGAAGAGAGAGAAGAUACGUACCAAUCCCAUUUACCCUAAUCUUCCUUCCUUCAUUCCUUCUUCACGCUGUUGCUCUUCUUCUUCUUCCUCUUCCCACUGCCACACCCAAAUCUUAGGGUUAGGGUUUCAGCUCUCACCAACUGUCACUCGAUCUGUUCUCUGCUACCUCGCCAUGGAUCAUCGCAAGAGGGGGAGGUCUGAAGCUACCUUCAAUGUCAAUGGCGGCGCCAAGAAAUUCAGGCCAGGUUUGUUUCUACUCCUUCAUCACUUACCGUAUUCUCCUCUUCUUUCUGCUUACCACUUACGUAAUUCCAAUCUGCUUUCACUUUUAUCGUGCUUUUGCUCUUUACUGUUCAUCAAUCUUUCCAACACGCGCUGCCCGUAUUUUGUUCUGUUUUGUUUUCAUCUGCGCGCCAUUCACAAGUGUUAAAAAAUGCUAGGCCAAUUUCGCUCCCGGUUCCAUCGUUCUUUUCUUUAAAAAAACAUUUAUUGUUGCAUAUUGUUAAUGUUUUCAACGAGAUGUUUGUUUGAAACAGUUAAAAUUUCAUGUUCUCGUACAGAUGCAGUUUUGUUAAUAUUUUUACAGAUAAAAUUUCAUUAUCACAUCAAUUUACGUUCUGUCCUGGUAAUAUGUAUGAGAUGUUGAAUUAUUGUCUCGUGCACCUUCUCCGAAAACACUCGGUAUACGUAGGCUUAAAUGAGCUAAUAUUGGUCAAAUAAUAAGAAUAAAUGGUUAUUGGAUAUUAUCCAAGUUGAAUCAUAAAAGAUCAAUGGAAUUUUAACUGAGAGAACUUAAUUAAUGUUCUGUAACAGAAACGGACUCCUUUCCAACUGGUUUAGGAAGCAAAUCGAAGCCAUGCACAAAGUUUUUCAGGUUCAAAUCUUUAACUUAUCUAAAAUAAAAAUUGAAUGCACUUUCGUAUAUGUAUAAAUUUUCUAAUGUUUUAGAUAAAAUUGAUACACAGUCUCUUCAAGCUGAAUCCAUAUGAUUUGACUAAUGAAUUGGGUAAUUAAAGCUGUGAUACAGGUCCUACUUCUAAUUAUGAUAACAAGAGUAUGAACAGAAAUUGUUGAUUCUCAAGAAUGAUCAGUUCUAUUAAGUGCUUCCUGGGAAAUAUAUAAUUGAAAGCAAGGGGUGUGAUGCCAACCACUGAAAUGGAUAGAGCAGUACAUGGCCUAAGACACAUAUAUCUAUCAAUACACUAACAACACACUUCUUUCUUAUUUUUGUAUGGAAUUGUUGAAUUACCUGAUUUUCAAUUGAUCUCUAUUAUGCAAUGAUGAUAAUGUGGUUCUUGUGUUGACUAUACUGCUUAGCUGAUGUAUGCUGUUGUGCAAUUGUUUGAUAUAUUACUCUCGAGGCUGAUACAUGCUGUAUUUUUGUCGCCUUAAUAAUAUUGAAGUCUGAGGACUUCUUCCAUUUGGUUUUGAAUGCGUCAAUUUGAAGAUUAACCAUGGCUUGGAAAAGUAAUGCCUAAUAAUAUUAUAGAGUUUGUAACCAUGGAAACUGGAAUGGCUUUAGAUUUCUAGGAAAAGCAUUGUGAUAAUUUGAAAGUGCUGAAAUCUAGAAAGAGAAUAAAGAAAAUAAUCUUCAAAAAAUUUGAUCAUAUCGCCACAUAACUCAUUUUUUUAUAAUUUUCAGAUAAUUUUUUGUGUGCAGAUGUGUAAUUAUUCAGAAUAGUCUUCCAAAUACCAUAAUGUCUUGUAUUGCCGAACACAGUUAGCCCUAAUAUACUCCAAAUGUAUACAGAAGUCAUGAUGUCUUCCAUUAGCAAUUCUUUUCUUUUGAAAAUACUUCCAACUGUUAUAUUCCAAAUAAUAGGACUUUAAAUACUCUGCAAGGUAUUGCACCUUCCUAUUUUCCAUUAACUUAUCUUCAAAAUCUUUUCUAGACCGGCAUUGGUGUUGUCGUGUAUUUAUUCUAAAUCUUAUUUAAUCAGAAUUCAUCCGUGCGCAGAUCAGUCAUAUUCUUUAUCACGUCCUCUCGAUCGAGAGCAAUCUUUUGUUGUAUGCUUAGUUUUACAAUACAUAUUCUGUACCUGAUUUUUUAUUUAUUUGUAAAAAUAGCUAUUUUACAAUACAUACCAUACCAAUAUUUGUAAAAUAUUAGGAUUAAGCCUUUUACCUGUUUUUUUGGGCCCAAAGAGGAAGCUUUACUAAUAUUUGUAUUUAUGAACCAUUAAAAAUUGUGAUGUUGUCAUCUUUACUCAUUUGCUCUCUGCUUUAGAAGAUACAGAUAUCUGCUGGGAGUGUUUGUUAUCUGUCUAGCAAGUUAGAAGCCUUGCAUGCCUUGGUAGUCUAUACUAUUGUAUAUGAUUGCUUGUUUACAUUAGAAGUUUGAUCCCUGACACUCUGUUUGGUUAGAAAUGGAGUGGAAGGAAAUAAAAAAUAGGGAGAUUGGAUUGAAAUAUCAAAUUUCCACUAUUUGUAAAUUUCUCUUUUUUAAGUGUUUUCUUGGUAAAUUUGUCUUGAUGUUCUUGUAUACUCAUUAAUCUGUGUUUUUAUCUAUUUACUCGUGAGUUUUCCACUCUCUUGUUUUCUUUGUUCCAUCUGUCUAUGUUCUCUGUUUGUCUUGUCUCUGGUCUGAGUUCUUAGAUGUGUUCACAUAUCCUCGUUAAUCUGUGUUUUCAUCUGUUUUCCCAGGAGUUUUUGCCUCUCUUGUUUUCUUUGUUCAAUCAGUAUAUGUUCUCUGUUUAGUUUCUCUCUGGUUUGAAUCUUAGAUAUACCUUUUGGUCAACGAUACUGACCGAAAUUAUUCACUCCUUUUUUUCUCCAUUUUUUGUUAGUUAGCCAUGACAUUUUUUGUUACUAAUUUACUUGUAUGAUUGCUUAAGAGAAAAGAUCUAUAACUUCUUAUUGUUAAUUAUGAACAUGUCAAGAUUUAAGUAUUUUUGAAAAUUUGUAUGUUUUUAGUAUGAAUUAUAUCAAAUGUACAAGAAACUUUAACAAUGCAAGUCAUUUGUUAUGCACUGUGAUGCUAUUGUGUUUUUGGGGACAACUGUUACAGUUUACUUUCCAGGAUUGGUAGUUGUGUCUUCUCUCUAUUCUGUACUGUUGCUUCUAAGUCAGUCUAAGUGACCACGGUGAAUGUUUUUGUUGUUCACUUGUUGAAAGAAUAGCAGAUAAACAUUACAUGUAACAUAGAAAAGGGAUGUAUGUGUAGAUUACUUACGAAGAAGGAAUAAGACUAUGACUUGGGAUGUUUUCAUAAAAUUCAUGCAACCGUGUUACAUGGAUCUGGGAUUUUCCAUUAUUUUCUUCUAAUGUGUAUUCUUAAUGUUCAUUCAUUUGGUAAUUUGAUGUUUAUAGCCUCUAUAUGUUUGUUACCUCGACUAUGAGAAAUCAGAUUGAGCAUUGAGUUAGUGCUGAAUCUUAUUAUUUUAGACUUCAAAAUUAUUUAUGAUUUCUAUAUUACUGUUAAUUAGAUAUGCCAUGCUAUAGUUUGUUACGUAUGAUUUCUUUUCUCAUAAGAUGCGCUCUAAUUUCUAAGCUUAUUUGUCCUUGAUAAUCAUGUUCCUUGCAUUAUUCUCUUAUUGUCAUUAGAAUAAUUUGCCAUCUUAUUUAUGAUAUACUUUACCAGUCUGAACUGAACCUUUUUUUCUUCUCCCGUACUGUCAUUUGGUAUUCAAUAUUGUUUGUUACUUCGGUCAUCCAUCAUUAGUAUUUUCACGGCUAAAAAUUCCCAGAUAAUGUUAUAUUAUAUUUGCUUAACUAGAGGAAGAUGAUGUUAAUUAUGAAAAUUUAAAAAAUGGCAUUAGUUUUGUAAGGGAAAGCAUUCUUGAUACAUUUUAAAUGAAUCAUCUUAAUUCUUAAAAGAUGCUACUUUGUUGUAUAUCAUUUGUCUGACUUUUUAGCUUCUAAUUUUCAGUUCAUACUUCAUAGAAUGAAUUAGCAUUUUACUGAGGUCCCGGAAUCUUACUAGUUGAUUAUAUGAUAACCUCAUGUCGUCUUCUUUCCUCUAUAAUGCAGCACCUCUGGCUGUCCAUUCGGUGAAGGAUGUCAUUUCCUGCAUUACGUUCCCGGUGGCUUCAAAGCAGUCUCUCAGUUGAUCAAUGUUGGUAGCGAUCCUGCCAUCCCUCAUGCUGGUAGAAAUCCUAUUCUACCAUCCUUCCCUGACGGGUCUUCUCCUCCAGUUGUUAAGACCCGAUUGUGCAACAAGUUUAAUACGGCUGAGGGUUGCAAAUUUGGUGACAAAUGUCACUUUGCCCAUGGUGAGUGGGAGCUCGGCAGGCCCACGGCACCAUCAUAUGAAGAUCCCCGAGUUAUGGGACAAAUGCCAAACAGCAGGAUAGGUGGACGUGGCGAGCCCCCAUUUCCAGGUCACGGUGCAGCCGCCAGCUUUGGAGCCUCUGCCACUGCAAAAAUCAGUAUCAAUGCUUCACUAGCUGGAGCAGUGAUUGGAAAAAGUGGUGUGAACUCAAAGCAAAUUUGUCGUGUAACAGGAGCUAAACUUGCCGUAAGGGAUCAUGACACGGAUUCUAACCUCAGAAACAUCGAGCUUGAAGGUAGUCUCGAUCAGAUAAAGCAAGCCAGUGCCAUGGUACACGAACUUAUUUUAAAUAUUAGUGCUGCCUCUGGGCCUCCAAUUAAAAGCUUUUCUACACAGAAUUCUGCCCCCACAAGCAACUUCAAGACCAAGCUCUGCGGAAACUUCACUAAAGGUUCCUGCACUUUUGGGGAAAGGUGUCACUUCGCACAUGGAACUGAUGAUUUGCGCAAGACUGGAAUGUGAUACUGUUAUAAUAUAGUUUAAGUGGUUUUAGUGAGGAAGGAUUGAAUUGUGCAAAAUUUUCUAGUUUUUCAAUUUUUUUUUCAAUCAGCUUCUAAUUUGCUACAUGAUAACUAAUGGUGAGUCUUACCACAGCUUCUGAAAUUCGAUUGCCUCUCACUAUCACUCUUUCAUAUUUCAUAAUUUUCACUUUCUUCCUCUUGCCCUUCCACUCUUCCCUGUUUAAUUCCCUGUACUAAAUAUAUUUUUCAGUAUUAGUGUUACUUUAAUCUGUUAAUUUUAGUAUAAUAGCAAUCCUAAUCUUCUUGCUUAUAUGAAUAAAAGAAAACAAAGUAAUUUAAAAAAUAACUUUAAGAAAAAUUAUUUUUAUUUAAUAUAAAGUGACUUUUUUAGUGUAGAUAUUUUACCUUUUAAUGUGAAUAUGUAAAAUUAUUUUAAUUAUUUUCUUCUAUUUUAUCUCCUCAAAACCCUCAAUCUUAUACUUUUUAUAAUUUCUAAGUUUUAUAUUCUAACUUCCCAUAUGCUUUUUUUUUAACAUAAGUAACACGAUAUUUUGAUCUGAAAUUUUAAUUAUUUAUGACAUUGUAUAAGAUAAACGUAAUAUAUCGCAACAAAGCAUUUUUUUUUAUAAUCGGGAAGGCUAUAUUCUCGUAUUUCCACAAAAAUGAUUUUGUAGGAAGCGUAUUAAAAAAACAUGGCCAAUAAAAAGAGAGAAAUCACAAUUUCGAAUCUCAAAAAAUUAAGAAAAUUGUGUGUAUCAAACAUCCCCAAAAGUAAAUUGAUUAUUUGUGUUAAAAGCAUAUUUGUAAUAUUUUAUUAUUUCAAUUUUUUUAGGAAAUUCUAAUGAAAUUAAAAACUACAUUAAAAACUACUUUAAUAUUCGAUGACUGACAGCUGGAUUAAUGAAAUGAGAGAAUUGAAAAGAAUUAACUUUUGAUAUUUUUUUUAAAAAAACUUGCUUUAUUAUGUUACAUAUAUACUUAUUUAUAACAUUAAAAUAGCUAUUUGUGUACAAAUUAAAAAAAAAGUUGUAGGAUAAAAUCGUAUUAAAAAAUAUAUCUUAAAUAUAAUUCAAUAUCAUAAAAUUGAUUUAUAAGAAAAUUUACAUUCAUUUAUAUAUUAUAAAAUAUUUUAAUUUCUAGUUAAUGUAAGUUACAAUUCAUACUUAAAAUUAUAUAUUAAUGGGUGGUAUUUAAAAAAUGAAAAAUCUAACAAUUUUCGUUAAAAUAAGUUCAACAACUUUUGUUUGGAUAAGUUUUAGAUACUCUAAUAAUAAAAUCAGCUUAUGAAUUACAUGAGUAAAAGACAUUAAAUGUGGUAUUCUUCCAUAAUGAAUAAAACUUUUGUAGUAAUUAAAUAGCUGUCGAACUUGCUUCAUUGGCACAUACACAUCAGACAGAGUGGUUUUGUGAUGAAUUUGCAAUGUUGAAGGUGUGAUGUGAGAAGACGCAACCAUGACAGCUUAGUCUGUCAUGAAGAUGUUCUUGCACAUGUCUUUGGCUCCUUAACUGAAUGAUUUGCCUCCAUGCCAUGGCAUUUGGCAGCACCACUGCCAAGAGAAGAUGAUACAUUCUUGCAUUAUAAUUGCCCUCAUGUCUCCUUCUUUCUUAUAAUUCUCUUUCAAACACUUCAAAUGUCAAGCAUAACAUAUUGUCUUCAAAUGAAUUUGAUCUGCAUCUGAUCAUCAAAUAAUACAAAACACAUGAAAAGAAGAUGCAGUAAAAAUGCAGUAGAAGGUGAUGUUGAUGAUGAUGAAUGGAAGAAAACAAUGAGUGAGUGAUUAAUUUGACAGGAGACAGGAGUAUUUAAUAGUGUUGUUACAUGUUAGAGUGUGUGUCUUUUCAAACUGUGUUCAAAUGCAUUAUGCUUCUUCUCUUUCAUGAUGAAGAUGAAACAUGAGGUGGAACAGUAUCAGCCACUGCUUCUAAACCUAAAUAUUGGCCAAACAAAAUAUGUGGAUGUAAUAUUUAUAUUUAUAUAUUUUUAAUAAAUCUUAUGACUUUUCUAUCAGUAAAAAAAUAAUAAAUAAAACAAUUUAAAUAUGGUUCCAUCCUUAUAUAAACAAUGAAAAUAAAACACAUCUAACAAAUUCACACUAAAAAAAAACCAAAGUACUAAUAGAAUCUACUUCAAUUUAGACCAACUACCUAAAUCUUAAACCCUAAACCUUAAACCCCAAACUCUAAACACGUUAAUGAUUUUGAUCUUUCUCUUCUUGCAAAUGUUUUAACUAGGAUCUAUUCUCUUUUAUGUCUUCCUUUAAAUUAAACUUUAAUAUUUAAAAUAAAUUGCGAAUAAUUAAAAUAAAUUUAAACAGUCAAUUAAACUAUCAACUUUAUAUACUUAAAAAUGAUUAUUUAUUAUGAAUUCUUACAAGUUCCAAUUUAAUUGGAAUACAAUGAUAGGAUAAUUGUUUUAUUAUAUUAUUAUUCAAUUAUUAUUAUGAGAAAAUCAUCAAACAAAAAUCAAUUUUAGUUAGUGAUAAAAAAAUAAUUAAUUUCUAUAUGAAUUAAAUUAGAUAUUAUAUUAGAGACUACAGACAUUAUUGACAUCUAAUUUAUUCAAUAUAACACUUAAUUAUUUUAUCUCUAAAAUUGAUGUCUAUUUAGUGAUUUUAUAGUAGUGUCAACAAUCUCUUUGAGUAUUCCUUAUUUGUCUUAAACUCUUUCAUCUUUUGCCUCUCAAAUUUUCUUAUCAAAAUUAGAAACUUUUGUGGCUCGAAACUUUUUGUCUUUUUCUUAAUUUCCUAACAAAUAAUCCCAAAUUUAUUUGGAAUAUCAUUUGUGAAAAAACAAACAAACAUGACUUUGCUUUCUUUCUACAUUUUGAUUUGGAUCGUGGUGUUAUUAGACAACAAAUGUAAUCCUCUUCUACAACUUCUCAUAGAUAUAUAGCCUCUUUAGAUAAAUUUGCAUUCUUACAAUCUAUAAAUCAUAUUUUUCAUUAAAGAGUGAAAUAAACUACUUGUAAUUUUUUCUUCUUCUUACAUUCUAUAUGUCCCAUAAGAAUGAUAACUCUAAUGUCAUUGUUGAAAUUUUUAGGAUUUUAAGUGUUUUAUAUAAAAACUUAUGAUUUAUUUUAUUUGUAUACUUAUAUAUACAACAAAAUGUAACAUAAUAUCAAAUUUUCACCAAUGAAAACACCUCAAAUUUAAAAGUAAAUGCUAAUAUUAUAUAAAAUUACCUAGUUUUAUAACUUUUGAAAAACAUACUUAUAAAACAAUUAGUAGUGGUUGUAUAUUUACAUUCACUAUUUAGGACUAAUAUAGAUAUUUCUUUGAAAUAACUACUUAAAUUGUUAAUAUAAUUGUUUAUGAGAAAAUUUAAUUUAUAGGAGAUAAAUUUCAUUAUACACUACUAUUAGGGUUUAGGGUUAUUAAAUAGAAAACAAUUUAAAGAUAAAAUAAUUAAUUGUUAUAUUAACAAAAUUAAAUACUAUUUUAAAUAUUAAAAAAAUUAUUGAUUUCUAAAUUAGUUUAUAUUAUUUAUAAAUAGUUUCUAAAUUGAUAUCUAAUUAGUUACAAAGAUUUUAACUACCAAAUUCUAAAUUUUUCUAAAUUUGAUAGAAAAACAUAAAUGAAAACAUGGUAUUUAUAAAUGAUAUAUAUUUAUUAAUUGUAAAUGUACAUGAUUAAUUAAGCUAAGGUAUAAAUGGAUAAUCUAAGCAGCAAUUAACAAAUCACUGGCUCAGAAUCCAUAUCCUUUGAACCAAAAUUAAUGACAAACAGAAGCCUAACACAGUGUAUGAUGCAGCUCUUAUUGACUCAAUACAAUAAUGGUUGGGAGAGAAAAUAAAUACUCAGCACACUUGCAUUGCACAACUUCAAACUCUCAAACCUUGCUAUUUACAUCUUCCUGUUCUUGCUCUUGUUCUUCCAUGUCACUAUCUUCAACAUUGAUGUUCUUGUACCACUUGGCACACAACAAGUACAGCACAAAGUCAAAGGCUGCAAGCCCUGCAAGCAGAAAGAAGAACCUAUCCAUGUGCCCUGUGUUCAAGUUCUCAGGAAUCCAACCUUUGUUUUGGCCCCUUGCUGUUAUGAUCAUCACCAUGUUCACCAGCAUGCUGCUCACAUAGUUUCCAAGAGAAAUUGAAGCCAUGCAAAGUGAGCUCCCAAAGCUCUUUAUUCCAUCAGGGGCUUGUCCAUUGAAGAACUCCAAUUGACCAACAUACAUGAAAACUUCUGAAGCACCAACCAAAACAUACUGUGGAAUUUGCCAAAAUAUGCUCAAUGAACUAGUCUUUUGGCCAUGAAUUAUCCGUUUGAGCCUUGCAAUCUCUGUGGCACCAGAUGCAACCAUUGCCAACAUGCCAAUAACUAGCCCAAUUCCCAUUCUUUGAAGCUCACUUAGACCCUUUGGAUUCCCACUCAGUUUUCCAGCAAAUGGAACAAGGAUUUGGCGAUAGAUUCCAGUGCACACAAGAACACUGCAGAUGUCAAAUGCAGACAUGCUUGCUGCAGGCAAAUGGAAACUUCCUAUGUAGGAGUUCAUCACAUCUCCUUGCUCAACAAACAGAGAAGCCAUUUGUGUAAACACUACUGAGUAGAUAAUGGUGCAUAGCCAAACUGGUAACAUUCUUAACAAGCAUUUGGCUUCCUCCACCUGUGUCACAGUGCAAAGCCUCCAUGGAUUUUUUGAACUUAGCUCCUCGUUCUCUUUGAUUGUUGCUGCCUUGUCCAUGAAUCUUUCCAACAUCAAGAACAAAUCACAGAUAUAAGUUUCAAUACAAUUCACAGUUAUGGUUAUCAAGUAGGUGUACUAAUUCAAUCAACACAACUAGGUGUUAAAAAACACAGCAUAAUAUUUUCUUCCAUUUCAUAUGGAAAAAUCAAGCAUCAAGAACAACUUUCCCAGAAAGAAUGUACUUUAAGCCUAUUCUUGUUAGGAUAGAUUUUAAAAUAGCUCUGAUUUCCUAUUAUGAAAUUGACUUUAAACUUAAUUCAACUCUCGUAAAAUCGACUUAUGAAGUGAGGUUUGCAUACACUUAUAAAGAAUGAAUUAUCCGAUCUCCAAACAUGUAGAGUUGAGUUCUUGAUUUGGUCCAGAUGUUACUUUUUACAAAAGAAAACAAAAUUUGUAAUCAUAACUUGUUAUUAAAUCUCAAUGCUUACUUAAAAUCAUCUGUGUGCCGAAUCUUUCUGCUGCCUUUUAUAGCAGAUUUUGCACCAUCGACCUCAAAAAGUUCUUCUGCCUUUGCUGGAGCAGCCUUCCAUUUCCUAAAAACAGCAGCAAAUACCUGAGCAAUCCUCACCACUGGGUUUCCACAUGGCUUCACAUAUCUAUAUCUUGGAGUUCCCAGUAAGAAAGCCAAAAAGGCUAUGACAGCAGAGACCAAAGAUACCAAGAAACCCAUUGUCCACUUCCCUGUAUCCUCGUAGUAGACCAGCACAGUGUUGGAAAACAAAGAACCAACAUUGAGGGCAAAGUAAAAGUAGCAGAAGAAAGCUACUUUUGCAUUUUUCUCGUUUGGAUUUUUCUCAUUGUAUUGGUCAGCACCAAAUGUUGCUAAGGUGGGUUGGUGCCCUCCAUAACCAAAUGCCACUAGAUAUAUGGACAAGUAGAAAAUGUCGUCUCCAAUUGAUGAAGGUUUACAAGGAGUAUUGCCAUCACCACAACCAGCUGGGUUGAUCAAGAAACGCCAAGACGACAAUGAAGACAGUGCUAAGCCCUAUUAAAUUCAAAGUGUCAGAAGCUAGAAACUAUGUAAUACAGACAUGAAACUAUGCAACACAAACACUGAUACGAACAUGGAUACGACAUGAACACGAAUACGAAGAUAUACGUAUAAUCUUUAAAAUAUAGGACACGAGAACACAGAUCUAUAUAUUAUAUAAAUUGAUAAUAAAGUUUAUGUACACAAGUAUGUUUCAAAAUGAUUUAUUCCUUAUUUUUAUAAUCAUAAUAAAAAUUUAUACAAUAAAUUUGAGUUUCUAGAAAAUUAAUGUAUAUAUUUUUAAAAUUGUGUUAAAAUCCUGUUAUAAUUAUAAAAAAUCCAAUAAAUAUUUUUUAAAUUGAAAAUUUUGUCUGAUACGUAUUUUACCACUGUCAGUUUCCGAUACGUGUAUCCGACAAGAAUAUAAAAGUUUGAUAACAUUGUUAAAAGUAAAAGACUAAAAGUAAUAUACCAGAACGAAAAUAAGCUGGAAGACCAUGCAGGUUAAGUAUCGACCCCAGUAUGAAUCGCUCAGAAAUGCUCCGAUCAAUGAGAACAUAUAAACAGUUCCGAUCCACUUGCUGACAUUAUUAGCAGCACUCACAUUGUCUUGACCAAGAACUCUGGUUAGGAACAGAACCAAGUUCACGCCAACUCCAAAGAAGGCUAGUGUAGCUAGUGCUUGAUUCACUGACAAAACAAACCAAAAGCCAAAAGAAACAACAUGUAAUCAAACAAACAGAUAGAUAAUUCCACAUAAAUUUAAUAAAUCGAUUUUAUAAAGUUGAGUUAGACUUAAAAUCUACUUCUUAAUAAAUCACGAAUUGAAAAAUGAAUCCAUGGAUCAUUUGUUCAUUACCUAGCAAGAGGCUUGCAACUUUAGCUCCUCCUAUUUUCUUUUCAUCCGCUCUGCUACUUCUCUCCAUAGCAGAUUCUUCUCUGUAGCUGCUAUCUCCUUCUGUUACCUAUUUAAAGCAAAUAUCAUUCAAAAAAAGACAAUUAAUUUUCCAUUUUCCCCCCAUAAAUGAAUCUAUCUACGAUUUUACAGUGGUGUACUUAGCAUCAAUGCAUCACACAUACAAAUAUAAUCAGUUAUUUUUCACCAUGUCUAUAACAAGUUUUGGAAUCAGUAUUGAAGUAUUGACACGUUAGACGCCAUGUACUUUUAGACGUGUUAAAUAUGUGUGAAGAGCUGUUCAUUACAUCUUUCCAAAUGAAUGUGUAGAAAUUAUUGUAUGAAUAUUAUUGUUGCCAUUUGCAGUACCUUGUUUGUGGCAAUAUUGGGGGAGUUGGCAGAGAAAGAAGUGGCCAUUUUUGGUAAAAUCUGCAUGAUGCAAAGUGCAUGAACUCAAAGUGAUAACAAGGUAGCCAAGAAGAAGAGAUGUUAAUUGAUUGAGAAAGGAAAAGACUUACAAAGGGAAGAUAAGAAGAAGUAUAAAAGUAAAGAAAGAGUUGAAAGGGUGAAGAGUGUUGUUGAUGGUGUGGUUGGAUUAUAGCAUGCAAUAUAUAAGGGUGUGAGGGACGUGGGGAAGAAAGGGAUAUGAGUUUGAAAGUAAGGUUUAUUAUUGAUGUAGCUGAGCCAAAAAUACGGAAAUCUGAAAUGAUUGGAGUUGAUAAGAGGAGAGAAAGUGACAAUUUGGAUGAGAAUAGUGGUCAUGAACACUCAAAAGAGAAGGAAAGAAAUCUUAAACUCUAAAAUGAACGACUCUGUGCCACAAACUAGUCACUUCACCCAUAAAAUACUGACACUGUAUGUAGGGACUUGCCCUUUUUUUUACCACCUAUUACACUGAAUCUGACAUCUUCUCGUCCUUUUCAAACUCACAUUUUUCAUUUCUGAUACCUUCACUUCCAUUUCACUUUUCAAUUAUUUAUGUGGUAAAUCUUUUUUUCCCAAUUUUUCAAUUAUAUAUUCUGAACCGGUCAGAUAGAAAGUAUGCAUGUCGAGUGGCUGAGAAGACAAGGAUGAGUGUAAACGUCACUGGAAAUAUUACGUGGAAAAGCACACAAGUGUCAGUGUUAAUAAGGCAUAAAAGAGAAAUAAAAUCAGUUAAGUAUAAAAUCGGUUAAUAAGAGAUAAGUAGAAAGAUUAAAAUGAUAUGACAUGUCCAAUAGGCCCAUUAGCAAGUAGUGUAAAUGGAUUGAAUGUUUAGUUCAGUUUUUUAGUUUUUCUAGAGAAUAACUAACACAAACACUGACUUAAGCUUUUGAGUGUUUCUGCGAGUACUACUCCACAAAUCGAGAGACCAAAAAGUAAUUCCAAGACACGAGUGAACGAAAGAAGAGACUUUUGAGUGUUUCUGCGAGUACUACUCCACAAAUCAAGAGACCAAAAAGUAAUUCCAAAACACGAGGGAGCGAAAGAAGAGGGACUAAAGGAGAAAAUAAGGGACUCGAAAGACGAAGUGAAGAAAGAUCCUGAAGUCACUCUCUCUCCUAUAAUUAGUACAAGUACAUAUUCCAAUUUUCAUUCAUCAUCUCUCAACCAUCCACUUUGUGUGUUUUUCUUAUACUGAAACAUCAAUCCACCUUGCAGUAAAUUGCAUGCAAGCAAGCGAAUCUCUUGUUUUGUGGUUCUGUUAAACGUUGUUGACAGUUGAUGAAUAGGUUAUUCCACCAUCAAUAUGUAACCACAGGCUAAUUAAUUGCUUGAAUUGAACCUUCCUACAACAUGCAGAGUUCCGAAUCAUGUUAUGAAACGAAAUCUCGUAUUAUCCUAUUCAUCAUCUUUGUUAACAUGUUUAGUCAUGUAAGUAACAGUUCAGUGAACUCAUCACCUACAAUGCAAAAUGUAAAGUUGACAUCACUUUGCUUGGUUUGAACACAAACCAUUGUGCAGAAAAAUACAAGGAAAAGAGUAUGACAAAUCAAUACAAUCUCACAUAAUUGGUCUAUAAUUGAGAUUUUCAAAUAUACUGUUCAAAGUUGGAUUGUAUACAGAGAAAUAUCAGUACUGCACUGCACACUCAAAUUAUUAACAGCCAUUUAUGUUGACAUAGCAAAAUACAACUAAAUUUACUCAGUCAAAGGGCUUAGCUUUUAACAAAAUAACACACCAAUUGAAUUGAAGCAUUUGCUGAAAAAACCACAUAACCUUUUAGGAGUCAUUCUUCAAGGUACAAAAAAAACUGCAUUAAAUAUACACUGAUUAGUUUAUAUAUAACCUUACUUAAAAAUAGAUUCCUAUUUGUUACCCUUACUAUUUUAAAAAAUAUGCAUACAACUUCUAUAUAUAUAUAUAUAUAUAUAUAUAUUCAUUUCAAUUACAGAAAAUAACAUACUUUGAAUUUAAAGUUCACACUGAUAGAAAAAAAAAACAAAAAAAUAAUGUCAAUUGAUCAUGAAGGAUUAGGAGAACUUUAAAUUAUAACCAGUUUUUAAAAAGAUUUUAAAAAUGAAAUUAACCUUUUUAUUCAAAUAUUAUCAUUUUUUAUUGUUGUGUUCAUUGACUAGCUAGUGAUUUUGAUUUUUUUUUUAAAUAUUUGUACAAUUCUCUUAAAUCUUAUAAAUUCAAAAAAUAUUUUAAAAUAUUUAAAUUCUUGCUAUAUAAAUUAUCUUUUUAAAUGUUUUACAAUUUGUCUUAAAAUUUGAAGACAUUUGUAGAUCUAAAUAGUAUUUUAAAACUCAAUAGACCUUCCUAAAAGUCAAUCCAAAAACCUAAUAUAUGAGUAAAAAACUCCCUCUCUUUUGUAGAUUGUUCCUUCAUAAUGACUACAAAGCUAAAUAGUUUUGAUGAACACUAUAUGUUGGACUAAUUUGCAAUGCUCCUACAGAAACUUGAAAUUACUAUGCAAUCACAUUACAACUUUUAAUGUUAUUAUUCUACUACAAUACUACGACAGAAAACCUGAAAUGACCUAAUUUUUUAUACAAUUACAUUAAAAAAAAAUCUGAAAUCACCUAAUUUUUUAUACAAUCACAUUACAACUUUUAAUGUUAUUAUUUUAAUUUGUUUAUAUUAUUUAAUUACAAAUUAAUUUUUUAUUAUAUAUAUUUAUAUCUAAAUUCAUGGUAUAAAAAAUUUGUAUACAAAUUUUAGGGUUUUGAAAGUAUCAUUUCCCUAAUUCAAACCAUAUUAUGCAAGAGUAGAUGAGGUGAAAAGAUUACUGGUUUUACUAAAUUAAGGUUUGAGCCACUUCAGAUUUGCUUCACACACAACUUCAUUUUUGUUUUAUCUACUUGUUCCUUUUUCCAACUGCGCUGUUACUGCUACCAAAUUUAGUUUCUACCACAAUUUUAGCCAUCACAAAACUGAGAAACAAAGUGCCUCUCUUCCUCUCACCAUUUUUUCCCUGUUAAUUAACCACUGCCACCUUUAUCUGUUGUAUUCUCAUCCCUUUCAAAUUCAAAGUUAAAAAAGAAAUAACAAUAAAAGAUACAUAUUUUGCUAUCUCCUGACAAAAGGGACACGAUUCAAGGAUGAUAUCAACCCUAUGAUUUUUAGUUUUCAGUUGAAGGUUUCUGAAGUGUUUCUUAUUUAUUUUUUCUUGCUGAUAAAGAAAAAUGAACAGAAACAAGGAAAGUUAUUCAGAUUGUUGUGGGGAAAUCAAUUCUGCAGCAUUUGACGCCAUGCAAGAGGAAAACAGAGCAGCAGGGUCGUUGUUUCAGAAGUUCAAAGGCGUGGUGCCGCAACAAAACGGGAACUGGGGUGCCCAGAUAUAUGCAAACCACCACAGAAUCUGGUUGGGGACAUUCAAAUCCGAAAGAGAAGCUGCAAUGGCGUAUGACAGCGCCAGCAUAAAGCUCAGAAGCGGAGAGAGCCACAGAAACUUCCCAUGGGACGAUCAAACGGUGCAAGAGCCAGAGUUUCAGAGCCAUUACAGCACAGAAGCAAUGCUGAGCAUGAUCAGAGAUGGCACCUACGCAUCACACUUUGCCACGUUUCUCACCACUCGUAAAACCCAACAAGGCGUUGUUGCAAAGCACGUAACUUUGAAGGGUGAUGAGGAGGAGAAGCUCUGCUGCACCCUGCUUUUUCAGAAGGAGCUGACACCAAGUGACGUGGGGAAGCUCAACAGGCUUGUGAUCCCGAAAAAGCAUGCAGUGAGCUAUUUUCCUCCGGUGUGUGAGAUUGCAGAAGGGCAUGAAGAACAUGGCAGUGUUGACGUUGAGGUUGCGUUCUAUGACAGGUUGAUGAGACUGUGGAAAUUUCGAUACUGCUAUUGGAAGAGCAGCCAGAGUUACGUGUUCACAAGAGGGUGGAAUCGGUUUGUGAAGGACAAAAAACUGAAGGCUAAAGAUACCAUUGCGUUUUUCAUGUGUGAGCCUGUGGAUUGGAGAAAAGGUGGAGAAGGAGAAGCUUUUGGAUUGAUUGAUGUAAUUUAUAACUCAGAUGAUGAGAGAGGUUUGAAGUGUUUUGGAGAGUUGGUUUGCAGUGAGGAAGAAGAAGACACCAAAGAGGAAACCAUUGAAAAGGAUUUGAAUGCACAAAAGGGUUUGAGACUCUUUGGUGUUUUCAUCAAAUAGUUUUAAUUUAACUCUCCAAAUCUCAUUUUAUAAACCGAUUUUACAAGUUUGAAUUAAGUUUAAUCACUUCUUAAUAUGAUAUCAAAGAUCUUUCGAACCUAUCCUAACAAUUAUUUGUUGAAGUCACCUGCUAGCAGACCUUUAUCGGACAAUCCAUAAUAAUAUAGUCUCAUACAUUAACGUGAGAAGUGUUUAUAACUUGAUGCAAAUCUCACCUUAUAAAACAGUUUUUUGAUAUUAAAUUAGACUUAAAAUUACACUUCUUAAUACUAAACAACUAUAUCACAUUUUAGAGUAUUAUGAAAUAACACCAACUUUUCUUUAUAUUUUUUUAACAUCUAUAUAACCUCCUUUAUACUAAUUUACUUUGUAAUAUUUUAAAAAAAUUAAAUGAGUUUAUAUAAUAUAUGUUGUAGAUCCACAUCGACUAGAUAUUAGAGUCUUUCAUUGUAUAUAAUUGUGUACAAACUUCAACCUCAUGAGUCAGUAAGUUGAGUUAGACUUAAAGUUCACUUUCUGAUAUUGUAUAAGAGUUAUUUCGAGUCUAUUCUAACGAAUAUUUAAAAAAAUAGCAUAAGGAAAUAUAUAUAAUCUUGCGAAACUUUGAAUAUAAUUAACAAAAUUAAAUUUGGGUGAAAAAGAUUAUAAUCAAUUGAAUUGUAGUUUAAUAGGUAAUUUCUCAAACAGAAUCAUAUUAAGAGAUUUUGAAAAUGUAUUUUUACUAUUCAUGCAUUAAGAGGGACAACAUGUUCUUUACAUGCUCAAUUUCUGGGUAGGUGAAGAGAAGUUUGUUCUGUUGAGAUGAAAUAGAAGUAAAGAGAAUCAAUUUUGUUUUUGGCUUACUUUUCCUAUUUUUUGGUAUUGCAGGCACGCACACGUCUUUUGUGCGUCUUAGAUAUACGUUUUAGUUAAAAAAUUAUUAAUUUAAUACAAUUUAAUAGAAAAAAAAUAUAUUAAUUUUUUAAAAAUUUAAAUUUAUUAUAUAAAUUGUUAUUAUAAUUAUAGAAUAAAAAAUAAUUUUUUUAUAUUUUUCUAUUAAAAAAAUUAAAAUAUAUUUAUACAUUUAUUAUCAAUUUAUAUAAUUUAUAAUUAUAUAAUAUAUAGAUUUAUAUGAAAUUAUACUUAACUUUUAUGUUUAUCUCCGUUGUGUUUAUAUUAUCGUGUUUAUAUCUAUAUCGUAUCAAUAUCUAUACCAUUAUUUAUACUAUGUUUUUAUACUUUAUAAAUAAUAAUUAAAAAAAUAAGCAAAUUAAGAAGAAAAAGAGAAAGCAAUUUUGACUGAAGCGGGAAAGUAAACCGUCAUUGAAAUUUCCCCACUCUCAUUAAAAUUCAAAUCCUAAAAGGGCAAGGUAAAGGGUUCAAGAAACACUUUUGAAAUUGCUUUCAAAUUUUAGCAAAACCCCUUUCAAUCCCAAAUUAGGGUUUUGGGUUUUGACAGAAUGAAGCGUUCGCGCAGAGGCAAUGCUGAUGCCGAUGCCGAUGGCGUUGCCGAGGGAGGUGCCAAGGAGAAAGCGGCGAGCGAGCAGAACCCCGCCACUCGCAGAGUCAUACGCUCCCAGUUCCUCAAACUCAAGACUCUCAUCAACGGUACACAACAUUACCACUCACUCUUCAAUUUAUUUACAACGCUAAAUUCAAUUUUUAUCCCUAAUUACCUAACCCUAAACACACCUACCAGAGAAACGAGAUGAUUUGAUGAACACGGAAUCCGACAACUUCGACACAAUUUUGGACGAGUUCGACAAGUUACACGACCAAGGUAGGUAGCUGUACUUGUUCCUUUGCUAUUGUUCUCGUUUUUGUUCACGUUGUUAUAAUCUUAACUUUGUAGUGAUUGGUCUGGUUGGAUGGAAUUUUGCAGUUGAGAAGCCCAGAGAGCAGGUUGCAGAUGCAGAGGCGCUGUUGGAUCUGACGCGCACUCUGUUUGGAUCUGUUAGGUCUUUGGCGAACGAGGGUGUCACCCCUUCUCAGUUCGUUUCCUCUUUGCUCAUACGCCAUGGCCAAGGCCAAGACUCAAUCGAUUGGCAGAAACUUGGCCUUGCGGUUUCCCCAAUCUUCCUCUCCGUUCAUGGCUCUUCUACCAUGUCAGUUCCUCUCCUCUAUUCCUUUCACAAUUCUAUAAUACUUUGUUCUUAUCUUGUUUUUUUUUAUAGGCUUGGGCCCAUGGACAAUGAGUUCAAAAAACGAAGAACCGGAGUGCGCAAACACCGUGAUCCUCGCCCAACCGUAACUACUAGGCCUGAACAGGUCACUCCCCUUUUCAUAUUCCUAGGCCAUUCCUACAAAACUUUGUUUCACAAUGUCGUUACUACUUGUUUUAAGUUCACGGUGCAUGAAAAUAAAAUUUUGCGCAUGCAUAUUUACCUUGGUGACACUUUGUGGCUGUUGUGAAACAGAUUGAUUUAUCUAUGUAUUUUAUGUUUGUGAGUGCACUGGUGUUUAUUCAUUGUUGUUUGUUUCGAGCAGCUUGAUGAGGCUGGUGCAGUGGAAAAAACUGAUACUGACAUAAACAUGGCAACUAUGUUUAACAUCUUGAGGAAGAAAAAACGUGUCCGACUUGAAAAUUUAAUUAUCAACAGAAAGUCUUUUGCUCAGACCGUGGAAAAUUUGUUUUCUCUUUCAUUCCUAGUGAAAGAUGGUCGGGCUGAGAUCAGUCUGGAUGAAAAUCGUUUGCACUAUGUUUGUAAGAUGUGUUUCCACCUCAAUCGACUGAAUACUUGUUUCGUUUUUCUUUUUUGUACCAUGGGUACUUAUGCUGUCUUCUUUUUCAGGUCCUAAAAAUGCUCCAGCCGCUAACUUAGUAUCAUCAAAAGAAGUUUCUUACACUCAUUUUGUAUUCAGAUAUGAUUACCAAGAUUGGAAGGUAUGGAUGGUACCCGAAUGUAAGGUUGGAAUUCAAGGAGCAAUUGGAAAUUUAAUUCUAUGAUUGACUUUUUAUGGGGUUGCAAUCAUUCAGGGUUACAACAUCAUUGUUUAAAAAGGGAAAAAACUGAUAAUAAUGUCAUGAGUGGUUUUCAAUCCUGACAGUUUCAAUGUAUGUUGUAUAGCACUGGUAGUUAAUUAAAAAUAUAUGUACGUUGUUGAUUUUAUGAAGUGUUGAAUUAUAUGCUGUAGGCAAAUAAUACUAUAAUUCACAUGCCUUUUUCAUUUAAAGGCCUGGACAUUAAAUUACAAGCCUCUGUAUAACCCUGCCAACGUUGUUUACAGCUUAUGAAAGAUGCUGUGCCCGAAGGGGAAGACUUGAUGCCGCAUCGGGAUCAGUGUUGUGCUGGUGCUGACCCUCAGGAAAGGAAGGGUGGGGAUGAUUCCCAACUUGCUUUGGCUUUAACACCUAUCAGGAAGCUAUCACGGAAUCGAGGACUGGUUGUGCAGGAGGAAAGUGUUGUAGAAGAAUCUCCUGAAUGUGACGAAGAAAAUGCUCCCAGAGCAGGGGCUAUUCGUAGGUGUAAGCGUAAACUUCAUUAGGAAAUGGCAUAUUAGGUCUGAACAACUUCAAAUUUACAUGAAUAUGUUUUGUUCAGCAUGCCAAGCUGACCUUUUUUGUUAUAUAGAGAGAAUGUAAAUACUUGUAGGUCCAUGAUGCCAUGCAUUUUGAAAGCUGGAUGUAUUGUAAGCUUCCUUUUCUGUCUAUAUUUCAUCUGCAACUCUUCAGAAAUUUUUUCUUUGCAUACAAGUAUAUUAUGUUGGUGAAAAGGGUAACAUAAUAGAUCCAGCUGUUUGUGAUUGGGUUUCAAAUGAUCUUGCUCCAGUCAAUUUGGAAAACUACUAAAACAUAUUAAUCAGGAAACGUUCAUUCACGUUGGUAGAGUGAGGUGAAGGCAGAAUUUAAUCUCCAGUCUUUAUAUUUAUUCAAAACGGAUUUUACCAUUAUUCACAACGGAUGUCAUAACAUUAUUAUUCAUUUGAAAGAGUAGCUCCUCUAUAAGGCACAGGUAUCGCUUUCAAAGGAAUGGCUUUCCUUAGCGUUAUUCCCAUCCCCUCAGUCAUGUCCAUCUCCUCUGGUUUGAGGCCAUCUGGCAAAACCCAAUCAAAGGAGUGCAAGAGGGAGCCUAAUGCCAAGGUAAGCACACGAGAGGCCAGUGGCAUGGCUGGGCACAUUCUUCGACCCGAACCAAAGGGUAUAAACUCAAAAUGACGUCCUUUGUAAUCCACCACAGUUUUUGGCUCCAGAAAUCUUUCAGGCCAGAACAACAAGGGAGCAUCCCACACUUUGCAGUCCCUCCCUAUUGACCAAACAUUCACUAAAAUCUGUGACUCUUUGGGAAUAUUGUAGCCAAGGAAGUUAAAAGAGUCCAUAGCCAUAUGAGGAACCAUAAGAGGAAGAGGUGGGUGAAGUCUCAGUGUCUCCUUGAUCACUGCUUGGAGGUAGGGAAGAUUCUCUAUGUCCUUUUCUUCCAUCUUCCUAUCGGACCCUAUUUUGUUCCUUAACUCCAUCUGCACUUUCUUCAGUGUUCUUGGGUUGUUCAGAAGCUCUGCCAUCGCCCAUUCGAUUGUGCUUGUUGUCGUGUCUGUCCCUGCAGUGAACAUUUCCUGCAACCGAGUACUUUCUCAGUAAUACUGCUUCAAUAUAUGACUAACUACUUAAAGAUGGAACCAAAGAGUAGUUAUAUGAAGCAAAACCUAGUUGAGGGACUUACAAAAAUAGUGACAUUAAUAGUUCUUGGAGAAAAGGUAUAGUGCUGAGAGGAAGAAUCCCCACGAAAGGACAACAACACAUCCAGGUAAUCUUUGAUUUCCUUUGAUCCAGAGUGACCAUUUUCCAUCCUUUCGUUGAUGAAGGUCCCUGCAAUGUCAAAGGCCUGGUUGACAUGGAACUGUGUCUUCCUCCUUAUACCCUGAGGGUCAAACCACUUUAGAAUUGGCAAAAAAUCUGCCAUGUUGGGCUUCCCAGCAUACUCCAUAACCUUGAGUGCAUGGUAAUAAAAUCUAUCCCCUCUCUCCGUUUCAGACUCCAACAAAUCCUUUGAGAAUAUGAGGUUCCCAAUAAGGUUAAAAUCCAUCAAGAACAAGAACCUCCCAACAUCAACAGCACGUGUACCAGAUUCACCAGCUUCUUCUAUCAGCUGCAACAUGCGGUGUAUACACUUUGCACGCACACCUCGCAUGGCGUCUAAGCGACUUGUGACAAAGAACUCAGUGGUGCAGAGUCGCCGGAGCAUGCGCCAGUGUGAGUUGUACUGAGAAGUUACGAUGGAUCCCUCACUGCCAUUCUCCCCUCUCAUGGCCUCAUAAAUCUUCCUCCCUGCAAGAACCACAUCAUGGUUCUUGAACAUCUCACCAGCCACUUCGCUCGAUGAGAUAACCACUGUGCACAUCGACCCUAGCCAAAGGGUCAUGAUUGGACCAUGUUUCUGAGCCAGUUUUGCAAAGGACUCGUGUGGUGACCAGCCCAGUUGAAACAUGUUCCCAACCACUGGCCAACAUCUUGGUCCUGGUGGAAGCUUACCAUGCUCUCUUCCUUCCAUCACCUUCUUCCUCACCAUCAUCACUAACACCCACAUGGCUAACACCACCAAACUCACAACCUCGUAUUCCAUCCCACUUUUAUGUUCUUUGCUUUUCAUCUGUGUUCCAUUGUUACUCUUCACAUGCUUUCUAUAUAUUGCUUCAUGCCACUAACAUACACACCAUUCCAUGGCAAAAAAAAAAAACAAUUUUUGCUUUGUCAUUGUUUGGUGAGAAUAUCUCUUCCAGGGAUUUAGUAUCCACGUACCCAUCAAGUUCCUCCCAGGUAAUAUCAUUUUCAUAUGUUGUUUCUUAGUUAAAGUUUAUCAACAAAAUUCUAAACUAUGAAUACAAAUUAUUAUUAUUAUUGUAAGUUGUAACUACCUCAAACUUCCGAUUUUCACCCGACUGAGAACAAUUUUUAAACUAUAAAUAAAGAUUAUAAAGUUUUAUAAUUACUAAUAAUUCAAGUGAUUAUAGCAUUUGUCGAAAUGCAGGUUGUCCUGAUUGAUGAGAGGACGUGGAUGAAAAGUUGUGGAAUUGGUUUUAUCGUACAAACAAGUAUAAAUUAAUCCCUGUUUGUGUUACUGUUCAUUUGAUGUUGUUUUUUUAUUUAGAAAGAAGUGCGUAAGUAGUGAUGAGGGUCGUAUAAAAACGAUGAAUCAAACAAUCGAUGAGCUUGUUAAUUGGCGGCGAGUACGGGAAUCGCGGUUAAGGACCAUAUUAUUUUUUAAUAUUUAUAUCAAUUCUAUCACUCAAAUAUUUUUUUUCCUCCUUUCAUAUCACACCCAUCCAUUUAUAUCAUUUUCUUAUUCAAAAACUUAUCUUUAAACAUCUCUAACAAAAUUUAAAAUAUUGUAAUAUAAUUCACUUAACAUUGUCAACUAGUAUACUCAUGUUAUUUUAUAAAUUUUUUGUGUGUAGAUUGUAAUCUAUGAAACUCAGACACUCUUUUUAAAUGAUGUGUCGGUGUUGGAUACUCGUAUCGGACACCAACACUUGUAUGACAUGUAUCAGUGAAGUGUAUUUGUUGGAUUUCUAACAAUUUUGGUACGGUUCUAACACAAUUUUAAAAAGAAAAAAUACAUUAAUUUUCUAAAAACUUAAAUUUAUUGUAUAAUUUUUUAUUAUAAUUAUAAAAUAAGAAAUAAAUAAUUUUGAACCAAUCAUGAAAAACAUUUUUAUGCUCCAAAAAAUAAUAUAAAACAUACUUGUGUACAUAAAUUUUUAUUAUCAAUUUAUAUAAUUCAUAAUUAUAUAAUAUAUAUUUAGAAAUUAUAGUAUUUUCGUAUUCGUAUUCUUGUCGUAUUAGUGUUAAUGUCAAUGUAUGUGCUACAUAUUGGAACCCUAAAAUAAACAAAAUAUCUGUUAUAUCUAAAAUAUAUUUUUAAGCUAAAUAUAUUGUAAAAACUAUAUUUUGAAAUUUUCAGAAUAUAAUUUCUAAUAUAUGAAAUACAUACGAACUUUGAUUGCUCCUCAAUUAACCUAAACAAAACUCACAUAAUUGAAACAGAAUUUUUAAAAUAUAAGAAAUGCACUCUAGAGCAAAAGUUGGAUUCCCCUUAAUUCACGUAAAAAAAAAAACUCACAUAAUUAUAAAUGUAAUGUUAAAUUAAAAUUUUAAAUUUUGUUUGCCAAGUGAUGCUAAAAUUAAAAAAAAAAUAAAACUCUAUUUCUUUAAUUUAUUAUGUAUUAUGUAAAAACUUGGACAAAGUAAUGUUAAACUCCAAAAAUCUUGAAAUUUAGCAUGAUAGAGGAGGAAGUAGUGCGACUUUUUUAAUACUUCAAUUCAUUAUGCAUGUGAAGUAUUUCAUUUUUAAUUGUAGAGUUUUAUUUUUUAUGUUUUAUGUUGUUUUUAAUGUAUAAAAAAUUAAAAUGUUUUAUCCUUUUGUUUUAAAGAUAACUAUUUUAAAAUUUAGGUGGAUAAAGUUAUUUGAAAUGUUUAAGAUGAGAUGAAAUGGGUUGAAUUAGUUAUUAUAAAGUGGGUCAAGCUAAUGUAUCAAUCCCUAUUAUAUAACUUAAUUAUUUUAAAAAUAAAUCAUUAUCAAUAAAUUAAUUAACAACUAUUUAAAAUUAAAAUCUAACAAUUCGGUUAUUUUUUUUAUUAUAUAUUCAAUAUAAUCACAAAUGCAUAAUACAAAUUUUAAGUAUAAUUUAAUCUUAGGUUAAAGAGAUACAAAAAUAAAAUAAAAAAUACAUGAUAUAAUUUAUUAAAAGAUAAAACUAUAUAAGUCAGUAUAAGGUGGAGGUCUCGAUAUUUUGAUAUUUAUAAUUGUUUAUUUAUUUACUAAUUUGAAUAUUAAAAAUAUGAAUUUCUAUUUCUUUCUUCUCUUAUUUUUUAUCAAUGCAAACAACAAACUAUUUAUUGAUCUAUGACGAUUAAACUAAUUUGUUACUUCAAAAUUAAUUAAUUUUGAUAAUUUUUAAUUUUAUAACGUUAAAAGUGAUUUGCACGUGGAUCUAGUAUCUGUCACAAACUAGGUUGGACUAAAAAAGAAAUAAUUAAUACAAAUCAUUCCAACAUUUGACAGACUAUCCUGAAUUAUUGGCUCUAAUCAAAGUAAAAUAUUUUUUGUACAUCAUCGAUAAAUAAAUAAAAGUUUAAAUAUUAUGUUUAUUUUAAGAAUUAUUUAGACAAUAUUCUUUCAUAAUUUUUAUAUAUAAAAUAGUGAUACAAUAUUCAAAAAAAAAUUCUGACUAUUCAGUUGACGGUCCAUGUCAAGUUGCUUUAUUUAUUUAAAAUAGUAUAAUUUGGUGGUAGUUUUUAUAUGGAUUGAACAUAUAAUAAAUAUUCUUUUUGAUAUUAGCAAAUAUUUUAAAUUACAAAUAAGGUUGAAACAAAAAAGAACUCAUAAAUAUUCUUUUGUGCUUGCUAGCAUAAAUUUGGCUCUUUCUUUCAUGUGAUACUCUAUACUUUUUCAUAGCUUUCAUGUGAUACUCUAUACUUUUUAAUAUAUCAAAGUAUACUUUAUUUUAUUAAUGUUUUUCAUUUCAAAGUCAAUGACUCAAACAGAAUUAUGGAUUAUAAAACUGGAAUGAAAAUAACUUUCAAAUUUUAAAAUUCAUGAGUUUAUUUAGAAAAAUAUAUUUUAGAUUAUAUUUCCGAUUACAAAAUUCAAAAGUAUUUAUAAAUUUAAGAACAUCUUUCAAAUUUUGUAAUAUAAAAUAUACUUUUUAAAAGGAAAAAAGAAUUAAUCUAAAAUUUGUAUAUCUUUCAAAUUAUACAAUCCGACCCAUGUUUUCUAAAAUUUGAGAAUUUUUUUUUAUAAUUGUAAUAUAUUCGUAGACCGGUGUACUCGUUUUAAAUUUAAAAAACUUAAAUAGAAAAAUAUACAUUUUCAGGGACAAAAUGGUCUUUUGCUUGAGCAUUGGGUGCGAGAAAAAGUUAUGAAGGUGCAGGCAGAAAGGCCCAUAAAUUUUGAAUGUGCAAAAAUUGGUUUCUCCAGCCCACUGUGACCCAAGCUAUCAUCCAACUCCCAACCACCAAUCCAACUACCAAUUUGUUUUUCCUUCCUACCACUUCCUCAUAAUUAUUUUUAAGAAAAAAAAAUGAGAAAUAUAUAUAUAUUUUUAAAUUAAUUAUUCAAUAAAUAAUAUUAACUUAUAUAUAAAUUAAAUUUCAAAGAUAUUUCCUCUCCAUAUACUUUUAAAAAAGACUAAAAAAUUAACUUUUGAAUAAAUUAAAAAUGAAUCUGUAACACAUUUUCCAAAUUUAAAAUUUUAUUUUUGAAAACAUUCACAACCCACCACAACCAAAUUAUAACCCCAAAUAUUAUUAUUCUUUUGAUAUUAUUUAAUUACAAAUAUACUCUUUAUUAUAUAUGCUUACAUCUAAAUUUAUCACAUAAAAAAUUAUAUAAAAAAGACAUCUUUUCUCUUUAUUUUUGUUGGUGAAAGUGGUUUGGAAGCAGUGAUGAGAGCAUAGUAAUUAAUAACAUUGAUGCAUAUUUGUGUUUGAUAGGAAACGGUUUUGGUGUUCAUUGUGGUGGCUGUGAUGUCAGACAACUACUUGCAGGAGUCGUUCACGGUGGAAAGCAGCGACGGAGUGAAGCUGCGUACGAGGGUGUUCAAGCCACGAACAGAAGAAAAUGGCGAUUUGGGGAUCGUUUUGGUGCACCCAUAUUCCGUUUUGGGUGGUUGCCAGGGUCUCCUGAGAGGAAUCGCUUCUGGGUUGGCUCUCCAUGGUUACACCUCUGCCACCUUUGACAUGAGGGGUGUUGGCAAAUCCACUGGCAGACCUUCUCUCACUGGCUUCGCUGAAGUUAAGGAUGUCGUUGCUGUCUCCAACUGGCUCUCCAACACUUUCUCUCUUCCUAGGAUUUUGUUGGUUGGUUCUUCCGCAGGUACUGUUUCCCAUCUCUCAGAUCAGAUCUCUCAAAUUCGUUUCAAUUUUCUCAUGCCAAUCUAUUUCACACGAUCCACUCUCUGGAGGAACACAUCUUGCACCUACCACUAAUUUUAGUGUGGGAGAAAGUUGUUUCUUCUACCACAGAUUCUCUUCUUUUUUAAUAAUCUUUCAACUUUUCUCUGCUUCAAGGGAAAAGACUCAUAAGGGUGUUUGUUGCUUUAAGCAAUUAACUGGAAGUACUUUCCUUUGUAUCUCAAGCUCUCACUUAGUGAAAUGUACUUUUUGAAAUGUUAUAAUAUCUAGUCAAUAGAUGAAAUCUCCAACACCCCAGACUAUAAGUUCAACAAAUAAUUACUAUGAUACAUUCAAAAUGGUUCAGAUAUCAUAUUGAAAAUGUCCUAAUCUCUAGUCUGAUAUUAGCAGCAUAAUUUUUUCUUCUAUAUCUUAAUGUAUCAAUUGCGUGAUUCGUACCUCUUUUACGAGUAAGGCUUGCCGGUGUGGUAUUUUCUUGUACUAGGAGUUGGGUUAGCUCGUAGCUGUAUGGAUUGGAUUUUGGUUAUUGAAAGUGUUUGCUGUUUGUGAUUAGGGUUCACAUGAUCUCAAAAGUUCAGUGGUAGCUUUAUCUACUGAGGUUCUAACCCUGUUGUAGAGCAGUAUGUUUUUUACUCCUGGUUCAGAUACAGACUCAUUUGCAGAAGCUGCUUUCCAUUUUUGUGUUGAAAUGAUACUUAACUGAAUAGGAUGCGUGCUUGAGGUUACAUGAGUUGCUAAGUUAGACUUGUGGUGGUAAUCGACAUGCUUCUUGUCUGUGAGAGUUUCCCCUAUUCAUUCACAAACUGAAUGCAUUAGGGGAUGAAGUAAUUGGCACCAUCUGGCAUGGUUGCAUCAAUGAAGUCUGAACGAAUUGCCAUAUAUUUAAGUUGUUUCUUUUGUUGCAGGUGCACCUAUAGCAGGGUCUGCUGUUGAUCAGAUUGAAAAAGUCAUUGGCUAUGUAAGCAUAGGUUACCCAUUUGGAAUGACUGCCUCAAUCCUUUUUGGACGACACCACAAAGCCAUCCUACAGUCAGCGAAGCCAAAACUCUUCAUUAUGGGAACGCAAGACGGAUU